RNAcentral lists this long non-coding RNA (68813 nucleotides) under Citrus x clementina. RNAcentral describes it as "Citrus clementina (C. clementina) long non-coding RNA (CCLE_LNC002249)". The record is from RNAcentral. Lineage: Eukaryota; Viridiplantae; Streptophyta; Magnoliopsida; Sapindales; Rutaceae.
UCUGCUUGGUAACGGAUCUUAGAAUUGUUUUUGUUAGCCCCUUAACGUCGAAAUCCUCAGAGACACAAGUCCAUGCCUUGAGAUCAAAAUGAUCCCGCACUUGCUUAUCAUUGUAGACAAGCUGAGCAAGAGUAGUUUUGCCCAGCCCGCCCAUACCUAUAAUAGGAAUAACUGCGAAUCCACCAUCGUUGCUUAAAUCAUCCCUCAACAGCAGUUCAACAACAUCCUUCUUUUCUGUUUCCCUGCCAUAUACUUUGGCUUCAGUCACUAAAGAGGUUGUCUCUAGCCUUUGACUGGCUUUUUUGGACCCUCCAGCUGAACUUUCUUUCAAAUCUAGCAAGUUUUUCUGUGUCACAAUUUCUUGAAAUCUGCUGUUGAUCUCUUUGAUUUUGGACAUCAAGCCAUAAUCGAACUGAAUCGAUUGUGGAGUAAAAGUGGUGCAGCAAGUAGGAAUGAGCUUCCGAAACUUACUUGUUCUUGUACGACUGCUACUGGGUUGAUCAUGAGCAGCAGCUGGUUCUCCAUUCCCAAGCAGCAACCUCCUCCGGAAAGCCUCAGUUUGAAACUCAUCCAACAAGUCUUCAACAUCGUAAGCCAAGUUCUGAAGCUUGCCAAGCCACUUCUUCACAAACUGAUUAGUCGUCUUCUUCUCCUCAGCAUCAUCAAGCACCGCCUUGAUCAUCUCCAACAUAUUCUCCCACUUCAUUAGAUCGUCUUGGAUCUUCUCUUGGCGUGCAAAAAACAGAAUCCCCUCUGAAGCUAACUUAUUGACCAGCAAAUCAACGGACGCCGUAAGGAUUGCCUCUCCGAUGAUCGACAUUUUUUUUUCUUUUUUUGGGCAAAGGAAGAAAGGAGCAGAAUUAUGGGUUAUGGAAAGCAGAAUGAGAAUAUUGAACGGGUGAGAAAAUGGAUAAUUAAGCGGAAUGAGUUUGUGAUUGUGAAGGGUCUGGUUCAGCAAGCUUAGUAGAAAUCACGCGUUUGUACUUUAUUGACCAAUGACUAAAUAAUUUGGCAAUGCACCCACCACCACCAGUUGGCGAGCAAAAUGAAAAAGUUUAAUAAGUGCAGGGGUCGAGCAAAAUACGACGUAAAAUGUGGCAAGUCUCCCCACUUGUUGUUCCUUGCAGCUAAGAAAAGAAAAAACAGAGCCCACCACCCAUUAAUAAUUUAGCAAUUCACCAAUCAUCACAAAAUUCCAUUAGAUAUUCGUCGAUCAAGUAGUUAAGUAUUUUUGCUAGAAUGAAUGCAACCAAGAUUCUAUGGGAUAUGUAUGAAGAUGAUGUAAUAAAGUGCUUUUGAUAUAUUCCCCUAGUCGGUUUACUUCACUAACCAUUAACGAGCAAAUCCUCCCAAUGACCCUCAAUACUCUUGUGCACAAUUAAAAUAAUUUCAAUUAUAUAUAUAUAUAAAUAAAAAAACUCUCAAAUAUAUUAUUUGAUAAUCACCAAAAAAAAAAAAAUUCACCCCAAUAAAUCACAUUACAGUCUAUGUUGCAAGUGUUUUUAGGACUAAUUCAAAGAGAAAAUGCGAAGGACAUGUAAUUGAAUUUGGGACACUGAAUAUAUUCCCAAUUACCCUUUAGUGUAAAUAGUUCCACUUCAGAUAUAUAUAAUGAUGAUGAAAUUUUGUUUUCUCAUAGCAAUCAUUCUAGUGUUUUACAAUGAGUAAUUGAUUCAAUAUUAACACAACACUAUUUUAACAUGUGACAUAUUCUAUCAUAGUGUGCUUCAACUCAGACUUCUAAGUUUCCAUUUUAGAACAAGUUAAAACAGUUCCAACUCAAAAUCAGUAGUGCGCAAUUGGGUUGUUAUAAAUAUUUCUAAAUUUUAGUCUAAUUUGAAUUAUUUAAUUGUGUUUGUACAAACUAGCUUUAUCACUUCUUUUAUAUUGAUACCCUUAAAUUUCAACCUUAUUUUAUGUUGAUGCACAAUCUAACUUAACAAAAAUAAUAUUCAAAUUGUCACAAUUUUUUUUUUUAAAAAAAAUAUACAAAGUUAAUUUUUCUUCUUCUUUACUCUAGGAUCCAGCUCCAUACCCCUCUUUUUUGUCGUUAUGCUACUCAGCCGUUAGAUUUUAAUUACGUUAAUCUAAUGGUUGGGAUUUGCAAAUGAAUAAUGAAGUGGUGUUCGGCUACUAUCCGAGGCCAUUGCAUCUAAUUGGUUUUGUGAUUUUUCACUUUCUUCCCUGUAACACUUGACUAGUUCUGGAAAUUGCUUUUUGGCAUGCUAAUUGUUGUGAAAAUUUUAAUAUACUCGCAAGCGCACGAAUCUAGAAAUAAAAUAGUGGUAACGAGGUCGAUCCCACAGGGAUUGGCACCCAUCACGCCUUUAGUUGUCGUGAAUAAAUCGAAAAUCAAAUUGAACUGGUUUUUACCGGGUAGCAACAAUCGUGACGUUUUGAGAUUAUAAUAUAUGACAACACUGAUUAGUGUUGUCUCCCAUGUGAAUUGAGACAAAAAUGAUUUUCCCAAUUGCGCUUUCAUUUGAACAAUUCCACUGUAGAUUUAUAAAAUAAUCACGAAAUUGUGUUUUAUAAUAAGUUACGAGUAAUUGGUUCAAUAUUAAUACAAAACUACUUUAAGUAACACGUGGCAUAUUCUAAUUCUAGCAAAGUUUCCAACUAAGAUUCCCAAAUCAAAAGAAUUUCAAUCUCCAGAACAUUCUACAAAAUGUUUCUUCUAGCCUCUACGUUGUGCUAGAAUUUUCUCUUGAGUUUUUUAGCAAAGACUUCUAAAGAACUAUCCAGAUAUCGAGCUAUAAUCCAGUCAAAGUGUAUAUAUUUCUCUAAUUCACCUCCCUCCAUUUCACCAGAAAACCAACAAACACUUAGCUUCAAACAAACACUUUCAAAUAGCUAGCUAGCUACCCAGAUGGCAAAAUCAAGAAUUCUUGCAAUGACAAUGUUGUUUCUUGUUGUGGCGGCAACAUUGAUGAACAUGGCAUCACAAGCAAAUGCUCUGAUGCCGUACACACGAUCACCUUUCUUUGACAUGAUGUUCCGAAUGACGAAAGAGCCUUUCAGGGUUCUUGAACAAACCCCUUUAACAAUCGCAAAAGGAGCUGAUCAUCAUCAAACUCUAGCCCUGGCGAGAGCAGACUAGAAGGAGAGUGGAUGGAGCCUUUACUUUCUAUUAUAUUUGUAAAGCGUGCCACAACACACGUGAUCACACUCGACAUUCUCGGAAUUAAGAAAGAUGAUGUGAAGAUUGAAGUUGAAUAGAACAGGGUAUUGAGAGUAAGUGGGCAGAGGAAGGCUGAUGAUUAUUAUAAGGAGAGGGUUGAAGGAGAGAAAUGGCACAGAGCUAAGAGAGCAUUUGGCAAGUUUUGGAGGCAGUUUAGGAUGCCAAUGAGUGCUUGACUUGGAUCAUAUUAAGGCUCACUGAGUGCCAAAGCUUGCUGAGGAGAUGAAGAGGCAGCCGAAGGCUAUUAACAUUGAUGAAGAGUCUGGUAAUUCUUCCAAUGAAGAUAUUAAGGCUACCAAGGCUCAAAUGUAAUUGAUUAAAGAAAGAAGUGAUUGCUUUGCUUGAUGUGCUAUUUGUUUAUGAUCUUUUUUUGGUUUUGUUGUGAGAUGUUUCUCUAUGGACGCUUUGUUUAAUGUAUUUUGAUGGGUUUUUUAGGAUGGCUUGUAUGUAUUGACAACAAUAAAGUGCUUUUUAUAAAUCCUAGUCCUACAACACUAAAAGAAAUUAAUACUCUUGGUUUAUAAUUAAUAAAAAUAUAUAUUUUUUUUAAAAGUCUUUUUCUUUGGCAUAUAGUAUGCGUUUUGAGGGGAAAAAAAUUUAUCCCACUCCUAAUUCGUCCUCUUCUGUGAUAUUAAUGUGUUAACACGAAGAUUCAUUGUAAUUGCAACAAUUUUGACGAAUCCAAACGUUCAAUAACUGUUAAAUUGUAUUUAUAAAUACUAAUAGCGAAGGUACAGAAACGAUUAAUUCAAGAAGUUGCUUAAAGUGCAUUAAAUUAGGGAGUAUAAAUAAUUGUGUGAUACAGUCCAGCCUUCAUCUGCUUAUAAUUAGCAACCAAAAACCACUUUGCAACACCAUUAAAAAAACAUUUUAACAUUAUUGCUGAGGGAAGAGGCAACUUAGGCUUAUUAACUCGUAUUAUUAAUGCUGAUGACGCAGCUGGUAAUCCUUUUGGUGAAUAUAUUAAGGCAGCUGAAGCUUAAAAUUAAUUAAGCCCACUAAAGCUUAAAACUAAUUCUUCUAGUGACGAUGCUUUGCUUAGUUCGCUUUUUGUUUUUAAUUUUUUUGGGGCUAACGUUUUGCUUAUUUUGCUUUUAAAAUUCUAUUGGCGUUGCUGUGGAAUAUUGUUUCUCCUUCGAUUUUCUGUUUUUGUUGUUAUCGGAUUUGAUGAUGGUUUAUAUGUACGAAGAUUAUGUAAUAAAGUGCUUUUGUAACAAUAUAUAUAUAUAUAUAUAUAUAGAUGUUUCAACAGCUAAGAAAGAGAUAGCCAUUAUACAUUACACAUUUGUACUCAAUAAGAAAUCAAUUCAUUAAUAUAGCCAUUAAUACGCCUGGUUUAUUGUUAAUGAAAAUUAAAAAAGAAAAAAAAAUCUUUUUCUUUGGCCUUUAGUAUGCAUUUUAAGAGGAAAAAAAAUUUAUCCCACUUCAAUUCAUGAAGAUAUUUUCAUUUCUGUCAUAUUGAUGUGUUAAUAUGAAGAUCCAUUGCAGUUGGUGAAUUCAAAUAUUCAGUAACUGAUGAAAUUAUAUUUAUAAAUUCAUACUAAUAACGAUUGAAGAUUAUAAUUAAUUUUUUAAUAUGGUCCAGCCCUCGUGUGUUUAAUUAGCUCUCAAAAACCACUAAGGUAAAGGCAAAAUCAUGAUAAAUUGUGGUCGGUUUAAUUUACUUGAUCAAUUGAUAUUGGGUAGCAUUGUUCUUAUACAAACACAAUAAAAGAAGAACACUAACGUACUAAUUAAUUACAAAUAAGAACAUUAACAAUUUUGCCGAAGUCUGAUGAAGAGAAAUAUUACACAUAUGUAACCGUACAACUAAAUAAAAGAAACUGAAGUUUAUUUCAACAGCUAAGAAUGAGAUACGCAUAAGAAAUUAAUCUAUUAAUUAAUUAAUUAAUUCAUACAAUUUUCAACUGAGAUUUGAAUUUUAAAAUUACAUACACAAACACACCUGAUUUAAAAGAAAAAAAUUUUAAUAAUAAAAUAUUUUACGUAUGUAACCAUACCGCGGAAAGAACAAAUGUAAGAAACUGAAGUUUCAACAGUUGAGAAUGAGAUAGGCAUAAGAAAUUAAUUAAUUAAUUAAUAGAGUCCUCCUCCUUUGCUAAAUAAUGCGAGCCCAUUGUUCCUUUUAUUUCGAAAACCCAUUAAUCAUCAACACAUACACGCCCAAUUUUAAAAAAAAAAAAUAAUAAUAAUAAAAUAUUUAAGUCGUCCUCUGUUCAAUAAUCAAAAACCCAUUUAAAAUCUAUUUUAACUUUAGGUAUAUGGGUUAACAAGUCCCAAUAUUGUCCUCCAUCUUUUCUGCACUUCUCUGCUAUCAACGGACAUCCCCCGAUGUAUAAUUGCAAAAGUGAGGAAGGCAGGCCCUUCUCCGGAAAGUAUUUGAGCUUGGGACAAUCCUCGAGUUCCAAGUGAGUGAGGUUUUGAAGAUCAACAAUUGAAGAAGAUAGGCGUUCCAGAUUUGGAAAAUUACCAAUCAUCAGGGAUGCUAGACAGGCAGGAAGAGGAAGCGUGGUCCUCAAUCUUAUGUCCUCCGGUGGGAAUGACACCAUGUCGUCAUCGCAUCCGCUGAUUGUAAGUUGUCGCAGAGAGGAGAAUCUGUGGAAUCCCCGACCCCACUCAAUCGUUGACUUCCAAAUCUUCUUAUUAUCAAUAAUCUCCAGCCUAUGAAGGUUGGUGGGAAGGCCAUCAUCUUCUUCAAGGCUUGGAAGCUCACCUCCUUCUCCUAUUGUUAAUUGUUGAAGAGAGGUCAGAUUGUGCAAUCCCUUGGGUAAGACCUGUAGUCUCUUACAAUAAGAUAUCUCUAGCCUCGUGAGUUUCGCACAAGGCAAUCCCCCUUGGGGAAAGGACACCAGAUUUUCACAUUCCCAUAUCCCUAUCUCUUGAAGCUGGCGGAGAUUAUGUAAACCACUCGGUAAAAUUUUCAGAUUUUCACACUCAGAAAUACUGAUUGUUUCAAGAGAUGUGUUGUUGUCCAACCUUUCUGCUAUUGACUCCAGCUCUGAACAACUCCAAACAUCAAGGGACUUAAGAGACGGAGGUAGAUUGCCAACUUCAAGGGACUCAAGCGUGGCAGGUAACUCGUUUUUUGAAAAUAUACACGUCAGUGACGGACACCUGCUAAUAUGCAAGCCCUCGAGAAGAGAUGAGGUGUACCUUCUGCUGCUGCUGCUGCUCUGGAUGCCCUCUUCCACCGUCAAAGUCCUUAUAUUAUCGCAAUGGCGGAUCUCCAACCACUUAAGGCUCGGUGGUAGUUGGACUCCAGCAAUAUAUGUCAACGAAUUGCAAAUCCAAAUCUCCAAGAUCUCGAGAGAUGAAUUGGUGUCGCACAUCCAUGCCUCUGGUAACGAUUUCAGUGCAUCACAUUCUCUAAUCUCAAUUUUCUUCAACUUGGAAGGCAGAGCAACCUCAGGAAAGGAAACAAGGGAACUGCAGCCGUAGAUUUCUAUCUCUCUCAAGGAGCUGAGGCUGAGAGGUGAUUGUGGCAGCUUCACAAGGUCUUGGCAAUCUCUCAAAUCUAUAUAUUCGAGUAUGCACGACAACUGGCAGAGCUGCUGUUGUUGGUCUUUCUCUUCCUCCGCCACCAAGGAUUGAAGUUUGGGACAACUUGUAAUCGUCAGUCUUUUGAGAGAGCAAAUGUCUUGCAGCAAUUCGUUAUGACUCUUCCAUAUAUAUGUCUGCUCUUUCAUAUCAUUUAUCUCCAAUUCUUCCAAUUUUGGUAUUCGCGGCUUCAAUGGCCCUGCGAGAAACACUUGAUUUGAUGUAUCUCUACAAACUACUGAAUUCUGCGAUCCGAGAUGACCAGUUGCACUUUCCCACACAAUCUUUUUGCAUCCACCAAUUAUGAAUUUGCAAAGAGAUGGAAGACUCGAAACUGAAACUAACAAUUCUUCACAUCCUUCAAUAACAAGCAUCUCCAAUGCAGGAAGGUGCUCUGGAAAUGUUCCUUUCAGUUUAGAACAUCUUAAAAUGUGAAGCUCUCUCAAUUUAGGAAACCGUUCAACUCCCUGACUGAAUCCAUGAGGAAUCCAGUCUUCCCAUCCUUGCAUGUCUUCAAAAUGAAGCGUCUCCAAGCAUGGAAAAGGAAUUGGAGUAUCAUUCCCAUAGAACUCUGAACCCAACCUCUUUACACUAGUCAUUCCACAUACUGCAAGAUGCUUUAGAGAGGGUAGUUGGCCGACUGACGGCAGGGUAGGACACAUGCCACAAUAUUCAAAUUUUAAGGUCACCAACUUUAAGAAUGAGGAAUCUCCGAACCAAGUUGGAAAUUUUGCGCCUCCAUAGCCGCUGAUACAAAAUUGUUCCAGAUUUUUAUGGGGUUCUAGCAUGUCAAGCACGUCCUUUUCAGUUUCCGCCUCCCUUGAAGACGAGCCAUCGGUACUGUUUGUCCACCGAAGCAUUAACACUUUAAGGUUCUUCUUUCCAUCCAAUUGAGCCUCCUUUGCAUCACCAACGUCUUUUACGUUCUCCAAUUUUGAAAUGCAAAGUGUCCCACGAAGGUGCGUCAACAACUUUAGCUCUCGUAACCCGGAACCACUGUCUUUUCCUACAACAAAAUUACACAACGUCUGAAGACAAGUCAACUUGCCAAUUCCUAGUGGCAUUUCCUCCAACGACUUCGUAUUUGAAUUCUUAAGAUGAUGCAAUUUGGCGAGGUUUCCCAUGUCUGCACACAACUUCUUCAGCCGAUCACAAUCUUCCAACAAAAGACUAUGCAAAUUGUAAAGCUUGUUGACUGAUUCAGGCAGAGUUCUAAUCUCAGUUCCAGACAGGUUAAGGUACCUUAAAUACCUCAAAGCACCAAUUGAAUCCGGCAGCUCAGGGAUGCGGUAUCCACGCAAAGAGAAGACCCUCAAGCGUUGGAGUUUGAGCAACUUAGGAAGAAUGCUAGGAGCCAAGUAUCCAGACAGUGAGCUAUUUGACAGCAUUACGGGUAAAAAUGUUCGCAAAUGUUGGAUAUCGUACAAGUCCUCAAACCUUUUAACACCAUCGUAAUCUCCACGAAUAUACGACAGAUGACGAAGAUUUCUUGAAAAACUUUGUUGCUUGUCAACCUCUGAGAUAUACUCCAUUCUGAAGUACAUUUCCCCAGCAGCCCAUUGAGCAAGGUCAUUGACGAGGUCGUGCAUCACAAAUCGUGAUAUACUGUUGCUUGAUUGCUGGAAAAAAGAUCUUGCACGUAGUUCUCGAAAGAACUUUCGACCUAGAUCUUCACUAGGAUUCCCGCUCUCUCCGUGAUCCAAGAGACCCACAGCACACCAUAAUAAAAUUAUCUCCUCCUCUUCAAAUUCAUAAUCCUUUGGAAACAAUGAGCAGUAUGCAAAGCAUUGUUUCAAAGGUGCCGAAAGAUAAUAGUAGCUCACUCUAAGCGCAGGUAUAAUGUCACAUCUCUCUUCUGGUAAAUCCCAUAUCUUGCAACUGAGCACAUCUUCCCAAUCACUUCGGUCACGUUUACCACGUAAGAGUCCACCAAGAGUUUUCGCAGCUAAGGGCAAGCCGUUGCAUUUGAUCACUAUAUUCUUGCCAAUGUCCUCCAAUGACUUAUGUGAACUGAAAUCUGUUGUCCCCAAAGAGUGCUGAGCGAACACAGACAGACAGUCCUCAGUUGACAAGCUUUUGAGUUCAUAAGCUUGAUCCAGGCUCAUGAUUUUGGCAACCUCUUCAUUGCGAGUGGUGACAACAAUCUUACUUCCCUGUGCGCCAGCUUGAAAUGAAAGGCUGAGGUGAACCCAAUCAGUGUAAUUCUCAUUCCAAACGUCAUCUAAAACAAGCAAAAAUUUCUUUCCAAAUAGUUGUUUCUUUAGCUCCUCUUGAAGCUUAUUCAAGUCGUGAUUAUCCACAUUCUGGCCAGGAGCAAUGGAAAUUAGGAUUGAUUUUGUAAGCCUGCUAACAUCAAAAUCAUCGGAGACGCAAGUCCAUGCCUUGAGAUUAAAAUGAUCCUCCACCUGCUUAUCAUUGUAGACAAGCUGAGCAAGAGUGGUUUUACCCAGCCCGCCCAUACCUAUAAUAGGAAUAACAGAGAAUCCACCAUCCUUUCUUGAAUCAUCCUUCAACAACAAUUCAACAAUUUCCUUCUUUUCUGUUUCCCUGCCAUAUACUUUGGCUUCCUCCACCAAAGAGGUUGUCUCUUGCCUUUGCCUGGCUUUUUUGGAUCCCCCAGCUGAACUUUUUAUCAAAUUCAGCGAGCCUAUUCUUUCUUCAAUAUCUUGAAAUCUAUCGUUGAUUUCUUUGAUUUUGGACAUCAUGGCGUAAUCGAACUGAAUCGAUUGUGGAGUAAAAGUGGUGCAGCAAGUAGGAAUGAGCUUCCGAAACUUACUUUUCGUGCUUGUACGACUGCUGCUGGGUUGAUCAUGAGCAGCAGCUGGUUCUCCAUUUCCAAGCAGCAACUUCCUCCGGAAAGCCUCAGUUUGGAACUCAUCCAACAAGUCUUCAACGUCAUAAGCCAAGUUCUGAAGCUCGCCAAGCCACAACUUCACAGAAUCAUCAGUCGUCUUCUUCUGCUCAGCAUCAUCAAGCACCGCCUUGAUCGUCACCAACUUCUUCUUCCACUUCACUAGAUCGUCUUUGAUUCGACCUUGGCGUUCAAAUAAACGAAGCCCCUCCGAAGAUAACUUAUUGACCAGCAUCUCAACGGACGCCUUCAGGAUUGCCUCUCCGAUGAUCGACAUAUAUUUUUUUUUUUUUGGGACAAAGAAUGAAACCAGAUUAUGAGCUUGUGGAAAGCAGAAUGAGAAAAGUGAAUAAGCAGCGUGAGUUUGUGAUUGUGUCUAGCAAGCCUAGAAAUCAAGAAAAACCCACCGUAAAAGUGAAAAGUAAAACGGAGCCAACCACAAAUAUAAAAUCAGAGGAUCACAGAAAUUAAAAAAAAAAAUCAAACACGUAAUGAUUUGUAAAGUUAUUAGCGAUUUGUAAAAAUCAAACAUGCGUCUUCUUCCUCUGAGUGUUUUUUUUUUUUUUUAACUUUAUUAAUUAAUUAGUGAAGUAAAUUUGUAAAGAUCACGGGCAUCAAAUUAUUGGGAGGUAUUAAUUGCGCUUAGUAUUUACAAUUUUUUGUAAAACUUUUUAAUUUCGUUGAAAAUGUAUCGUUAUUAAGUUAUUAUUGAUUUCACUCUCUUUUACUUUUUGACGUUGCGAAAAAGACAGUAAAAAACUUGCUAAAUGUCAUCAAAUACUUGUAUCUCAUCUCACAAAUUAGCAAUAUUUGUUUGGUAUUUCAUCUCAACGGGACGAAGGAACGAUAGAAAACGCGUUCCCUCAUCAAAAUUUUCUUUCGUGAGACCGAUAAUAAAUAAUAAAAUAUUCUUUUAUGGGAUCGAUUAUAAAUAGUAAAUUAAAGAAGGGUCGACAGAAAACGCGUUCCCUCAUCUAAUUUUUCUUUUGUGGGACCGAUAACAAAUAAUACAAUAUUCUUUUGUGGGACCGACUACAAGUACUAACAUAAAGAAUAAAAAAAUGAAAAAAAGGAUAGUGAAAUAACUCAACGGAGAAGUCUAUAAAUGCUUUUGUUUGGUAGCUGGCUAAAGCAGAAUCUGUAAGUUGCAGAGUCAAGUUACACUUAGCCUGCUCCAUAACUCUAAUGUGAAACAAAAAAAGUCCUGCCACCAAUAAUUCAGCAAGCUUCACUUUAUUACACGAAGGUGAAAGCAAAAAGCCAAAAACAGCCCCCACCACCAUCAAUAAUUUAGCAAGCUUCACGCGCUUGUGCUUGUCUUGUCUGCUUGACGAACUGGACAUGGGUGGACCAAGCAUCCAUUGAAUAACUGGAAAAAGUAAAAAAUAAAAAACAGUGUCCCGCAAAAAGAAUCCAUCUUUAUGUGUUGAUAUGCACAUCUACCGAACAUCUACAAAAUGGAAGUAGAAAUUGAAACUUACGUUUUUUAGUUAUGGCUCAUAUAUAAUACAAGUAUCAAUAUUUAAGUAGAAUAGAGUUCACAUAUACACAUGCGUCUAGUUUUAAGUUUUAACCGAGAGAUAAAUUAAUCAUUAAUACUCAGGUGUUUCUAAAUAAUUGAAUAAUGAUAUUAUACGAACCUUCCCUUUACAAGUCUUCAAACUCAUAAACCAAGUUAAAAUAAAAUUAAAAAAAACGUUUCUCUCUCUCUCUCCUUUUGCUAUAUGAUUACUUUAUUUAUUGAAUUAAUUUCCAUGCUAUAUCAAAGACUUAAAAGUACACUAUAAUUUUUUAUAAUCAUAAUGGUAAUUUCUAUCAUCAUAUUAAAUUAUUGUCGUGUCAAAAUAAAUUAUAACAAAAUUUUAGCUGAACAUAAGUUCGACUCAUUUAUUAAAUAUAUAUACUUAAUAAAAUAAUAAGACGAUUAAUAUGUUAUCAGUGAUAUAGACCCAACUGAAAUAACUCUAAUGUGAAAACAAAAAAAAUCCCGCCACCGAUAAUUGAGCAAAUUAACUUCACUUUAUUACACGAAAGUGGAAGCAAAAGCCAGAGGCAGUCCCCACCACCAUCGAUAAUUGUGCUUGUCUUGUCUGCUUGACGAACUGGACAUGGGGGGGGGGGGGGGGGGGGGGGGACCAACCAUCCAUUGAAUAACUGGAAAAAGUAGAAAAUAAAAAAAUCAGUGUCCAGCAAAAAGAAUCUACCUUUAGGUGUUGCUUCCUAUUCAGUACAUGCAUAGAUAAUGUACAUCGACCUGGAAUUAAAAAAAUGGAAGUAGAAAUUAAAACUUACUUUUUUAGAUAUGGCUCAUAUAUAUUACAAGUAUCAAGAUUUGAUUAGAGUUCACAUAUUUACAAUGUGCCUAGUUUUAAUUGAGAGACAAACUAAUCAUUAAUAAUCAGGUUUUUCUAAAUGAUUAAAUAAUGAUAUUAAUUAUUGAUAUUUAAAAAAUUUGUAAGAAGUAUAACUAAUAUGUUGGGAUAUGUAUUUGUGUAGAAUGGCAAAUAUAAAGAAUAGCAAUAAAAAUAGUGGAACUUUAAUAUGAUGAAAAAAGGUAAACUGUAGAAAAUUAAUAUAUAAUUCAAGGUACGUUACAAAUAUCACUUUCCUUCAGACAUUAUUUACCCCACCAAUUGAGUGAAUGCACAUGAGUUAAGCAAAUAUGUCUCUAGGAUAUAAUGAAACGCUUCUUUGUUUGCUUGUAUUGUGCAUCGACAAAAGUAAAUCUGAAUAUUCCUUAAUGUUGCAAGCUUGCCACGAAUUAAUAUAUUGUUAUUGUAAAAAAAUAAAAAAAAUAAUGUAUUGGAUAUUUGAUGCAUAAAAGAAAUAGAUAUUAUUAGAUGAAAUUCAUUUUGAGAAAUAGGGCUACAAAAAGAGUGGUGUAAUGUCGUUUUAUUAAUGUCUAAAUGGCAUAAAUAUGACAUCUAUUUACAAAUAUAUUUAUGCUCUUUUAUUUAAGUUAUCGUCUUUAGUAAUGCCCUUGAUUCAUAUCCAUUAGAUCAAGCAACCUAAUCCCCACUAAAACUAACUUAUUGAACAGUAACUCAACGGAUGCUGUAAAGAUUGCUCUUGGAUGAUUGACAUUUUUUUUAAAAAAAAUUUGGGCAAAGAAAGAAACUGAAUUAUGAGUUUAUGGAAAUUAAAGCAAAUGAGAAAGUGAAUUAGCACAAUGAGUUUGUGAUUGCGAAGGAACCAGCAAAUCAAAAAACAAUUAAGCAAGAGAAAAGGACAAUGAACACUUUAAUAUUCUAGAAAAGGGAUAUGAAACCUCUAAACAUUUUAAAAAAGAUAUAUAAUCUCCUUUUUAUUAGUAAAAUCUGUUUAUUUCAGUAGUAACAUAAUCUUUAAUUUACAUUUACUAUCAUGUCCCUAUAAUAAAUAAAUUAAUAUAUUUAAUUUAAAAGAGUGAGCCCUCCAAUUUUACUUCCCAUUUGCUCAAUUGCCUUUCAUUCAUAUACAAGCAUGUUUAACAUCUCAUUUUGCCUAAUUUGCCUUGGAAGAAAAUAAAUUUGAUUUUAUUUUUAUCUAUUAUUCAUCAUUUUUUAUCAUCUUAACAUUGGGAAGGAUAUAUUCAUAAUUUAAAGUGAAUAAUUUGGAUAAAAGAUAAUUAUAUCUUAAUUUUAAGUUUUAAAUAAAAAGUUGUUGGUUUUAUUAUACAUGUCAUUGAUGACAUGUCUUAAAUUAAUAUAUUUAUUUAUUUAUUAUCGGGAUAUAAUAAUAAUUAUAAAUUAAAAAUAAAUUUAUUAUUAAAAUAAAUGGAAUUUAUUAACAAAAAUAGGAAUUAUAUAUCUUUUUUAAAAUAUUAAAACAUUAUUUUUUUUUAGGGUAUCACUAUCCAUUUCCCAUUAAGCAAAACAAAAGUGAAAAGAAAAAUCAGAGCCCACUAUAAAUAUAAAAUUAGUGGAGCUCAUGAUGAUGCAUUUGCUUUACAUACUAAAUUAAAUAAAAGCCGAACCAAGAAUCUUUGCCUUAGCUUAACAUGAUUAAUUAGGCACUACUUCAUAGAAAACGCGAAAGCAAUGAACCCUUUUUUUAAUCUUAAAUGUCAUGAAUAUAAUUCUUCUGCGUUAAUUAAUCAUUCUUCUCUGACCGUCUCUUCAGGUUCAUUUCAAAAGUUUGAAGAUAGUUUAUCAAUUCUUCUACUUAUAAAAGCAAGUUAAAUUAAAAGAUUUUAAUCUCUCUUCUUAUUACUAUAAGUGCACUGUGCACGACAUUUUUUUACAAUAAACAAUGCCAAUUUGUAAUGUAAUGUUAUAUUCAUAUUCCCAUCGCGUCGAACUCUUUUUUUCCCUCUUUUUUAAAAGGAGACGGUGCGGUUUGGUUGUUCGCAAAAUUAGUGGUGUGGGGCUCUAUUUGCUUUUGUUUUCACUUUAUUAAUUAACUAGCGAAGCAAACAUGUAAUCAUUUGUAAAGGAGUCACUAGCACCGGAUUAUGUAAGAUGAAUUCGUAAGACUUAUUAAUUUCAAUUGAAAAUGUAGCGUUAUUAGGUUAUUAAUUCACUAAGUUAACUUGAGGUUCUAAUAUUUACUAAUUGUGGUGAUUAAUUUAUUUAACUUGUCAUAAUUUUCAUUUGAGAAUGAAAUUCAAUCAAUGUAUGAAAAAAGAUAAUUUUUUAAAAUUUUUAAUUCCUAUGAUUUGAUUUCACUUUUUUCCGGAUAUUGACGCUGUAAAAGCUUGCCCAAUGUCAUCAAAUGCUUGUAUCCCAUCUCACAAAUUAGCAAAUAUCAUUUGGUUUCUUUAUACGUGGCCAUCACAAAUUAAAAGUAACAACAUCCACCAUAUAUCGAAAAUUAAUUUUGAGAAUACUUUUGACUUUUAAAAGAAAAAUGCGAGUACAAUUUAAUAAGAGAGAACAAGAAUUGAUCAUGUCCCAAGAGACUGAAAAUAAGAUUAUAUAAACUUGAAUGCAGGCAUAUCAUAUGUUAAUCUUAAUUUUUUUUUGUUGCUGAAAAUUAAUUAAUUUGUUCCACUAUUCCUUUUUUAAUUGUAUGGUGAGAAACACAUUGGCCACUUCUGAAUCAUGUUGCAUAUUUGUUAACUCAAAGAAACAGUACACUUUUGUAUCAAUCAAACUCACUUUGUUAAUAUUCUUCAUUAUUAUGGUUAAUGGCUUAGCAAAUGUAGAAGGAGGAGUCAACCAAAAUGUAGCACUUUCUCUUGUAUUAACCUUUUAUUAAUUGUUGAAGUUAAAAAAAAUGUUAAAACAAGUUAAAAUAGUUCCAUCUCAAAAUCAGUAGGGUGUAAGUAGGUUGUUAUAAAUAUUUUUAAAUUUUAGUCUAAUUUAAUUGUGUGAUGCACAAACUUUCUCACUUCUUUCAUAUAAAUAAAGGGGAGAACUAUUUGAACUCAUUAAAUCACUUUUUAAAUUCCUCUACUUAUUAAGGCCAUCAUAAAAAUUCAAAAAUCCUUUUUAUACUCACUACAUCUCUUAAAAAUAUCGCAAAUAUGACACAUUUGUCUUCACCUUCUAUUUAUCUUCAACAUUCACAAUUUUUAUUUGAAUCUGUAAUAUGUUUAACACUGUUCAUUCACUCAUUAGAGUUCCAAUAAUAGAAUAUAGAGAUUAAAAAUAUCAUUAGCAAAUUAUUUGUUUGUGUUCUAUAUGAUAUUCUUGGUUUGGAAAAAGCUUCAUCGGCAAUAUAUGUAAAUAAAAGACUAAGAACUUCCAAUAAUUCAGAUUUGAUCGAAACUUCACAAACUUAUUUUCACUUAAAAAAAUAAAAUAAAGUAAAAGAAAUUCUCGUGUUUUAAAAGAAAAACUGCCAGACAUGUUUCUAAAACAACUAGAAACCAAACUAGGCUUGAAGCAGUGAGUUUUGAAUUAUAAAAAAUACAUAAUUGUAAUUUCACCUAAAUCAAAUGAUGAAUUUCAUGACAACGGAUUUAGACUAUAGACCAAUACACAAAGAAUUGGAUGUUCAUCGCAUUUGUUCUUGAAAUUGUUUUGCGCAAAAAAGUUAACUAUUGUAUUAUGUUGUAUUGCAUUAUUUUAAUAUAAGUGUAUUAUAUUAUGCUGUAUUGCAUUAACACUGUAUUAUAUUAAUACUAUACAACGUUUGGUUCUACAUUGUACUAUAUUAAUUUUUAAUUAUACAUACACUAUAUUAUGCUAUACUAUAUUAUUUUUUUGGUGGUUAAUUUCAAUUAUAUGUUUGGAAAUAAUAUUUAUUAGUACUUAGCAAAAUAUAAAAUAUAGAACCUUAAAUUUUAGAAUAUUUACAUCAAUUUUUUUUAGUAUAAAUGUAAAUAAUUAUAAUAAUUCUUCAUUAAACUUAUGUAAAAAUAACAAAUUCUGAAUUUUUGCUAUCGUAACAUUUUUUUUUUAACGGCGUUUUUCAAAUGUAUACCUUAUUGAUGAUGCACCAUAAAAAUAAAUAUCAAAUUUUGCGAUCAUGAUCAAGUCGAGUUUUACAUUAUGAAAGCAUGACACAAAAAUUGAAAAAAAUAAUGGCCGGCAAAAAGUUAUACAAGCAACAACAAAAGUGCUAAUUACUCGGAAAAUAAACAAUCAAGAGCCGCUGAUAGAUAUGAGUCAUAUGACAAGGUAGAGGAAUACAGAUAUCUGCAUACAUUUUUAACAAAGAUCAUCUUUGUAACCAAUUGUUGGCUUUGGCAUUAAAAGAUCAUCUUUGUAACCAACUGGGUAGCUAUAAAAUGAAUACUAAGUCAAUCAAACGGGAAAGCUUGCUACAAGACUUUGAAGCAUUAUUCUGUUGCAUCACCUUCCUCCUCUGCCUCACUUCCUGCAUCCCAAAUUAAAGAACAACAAAUAUUAAAUAACAAAAACAAAAUCUUCAAUAGACUUUUCAUACUCCAUGGAGCAAAUCUAUGGGAAUCCACAAAAUAAUUGAAAUAUAUCAAUGCUGCAGGUCAUAGUAACAAAUUACAGAUACACAAUCAUGCAUAUGCAACUAAAAAAUGCUUAUUUAUUACAGCCGCUUUUUGGCAUGACUACUUCAUAAGUUAUAUAUGAUAGAUAACAUUAUUAUUCUAAUCACAUGGUUAUGAUUUUAGUUGGACAUACAAAAGCUACGUGCAUGAAUCUGUAUCAUGCCACCUUUCAUGAGUCAAAAAUUUAAAUCAAAUCAAUUUGGUUGAGCCUUCAAAUUCCUAUUCCAGUCAAAGGAGAUGAUUUUUCCAAAGGUAAAGAAUGAGUCCGGUUACUUAAGCAUGUCAACCUUUUUUCUAGGCUAAGGUUUAUCCCUUUCCAUUUCACUAACUCUCCUCUCACUACCUUGCGUCAACAUUUGCAUACUUGAUAUACUUUCACAACCUUAAUCUAAUACUUUCAUUUAUGCUGAUAUAAAGAAGAAGUUUGAUUUAAAUCUGGACAGGUAACAAGAUUAAAAAACUGCCUUGUAGUAGAGCCAAUUCUUCCAACAAACAUUUCUUGAACCAAUAUCUAAGAUUAAGCUGGAUCACGUAAGACAAAUAUGCCAAGAAGAUUUUUAACUCACCUGACACUAUGGAUCUCCAAAUGUACUCAAUUAGCUUAGGUAAGCCAUACUUCUUCUCAAUUAUGAGCCCAGUAAAUAGGACCCGAAAAACUUGCAUUCCUCUGCUGACAUUCAUUUCAGUGUUGCAAGAAUUACAGAUUCCAUGACCAUGGACUGAAGUUCUUUUGUUAAGACAGGCGCAAGAGAGUACGCCCCUAUCCCACUAGUAUUUGGCCCGGUGUCACCAUCACCAACUUGUUUAUGGUCCUGACAAGACAUUAGAGGUAUGGGCGUAUGGCAUUCUCCCCAUCCACGAAGUCCUUUAGAACCAAAAGCAUUGUUUACAAGCAUCGAAUCAACAACUUCUAUGAAUCAUCCAAUGUCAUAGUUAGAGCUGGUAAAAUUUGACACGAUCCAAUUAUUCGACACGAACACGACACUAAUAAAUGGGUAUGGGUCGUCAAAUUUAACACGAUUAUUAAAUCGGUCGGGUCCGGGUCAACACGAUUUUUUUCCGUGUCGGGUUAGGGUUAAAAUUCUUGACCCAUUUACCCGAUCAAUGACUCGAUUAUAUUUUUUAUUUUAAAAUAAUUUAUAGAUUCUUGUCAUCAAAACUUAAAUAUUAGAGAAUUUUUUUUUAUUCUUUAAAAAGAUGAAUAUAGACACAAUAUUUUAUUUAUAAAAUUUUAAAUAUAUUUAGAGCUUUAAUAAUGUAAAUGUAUAAAAUAUUGGUAGAUACGUAUAUUUUAUAAUAUUGAUAUAUAAUAUUAUUUACAUAUAUAUAAUUAAAACCUCAAUAAUGUGUGUAAUAUUUUAGUAGAUAUGAAAAUUUUAUAAUACUGAUAAAUUAUGUAUGUAUGGAUGGAUGUUGAGACAAGCUAGAGAAGCCAUGAAUGAGAUUUUUCCUUUGACUCCUGCUAUGUGGCAAGAAUUUGCGAGAGAUGAAGCCUCUAUUUCAACCGGGUAUCUGUCAUUUCCUUUUUACAGUGGUUUUUGAUUUUGUGAACAAAUACUUUUUUUUUCGCUUAGAGAUAUAGAUGUUUAUGUUAGUUAUUUGCUAAUGUAAAAAGGAACAAAAACUGCUUAAAAGGUAUUAAAGAAAGAAAAAAGGAACCAAUUUGAAGAAGGGGAUACUCAUAGCGGGAGUUCUGCUUUGGGGUUUAAUUGAUGGGAAGAAGAAAUAGUUUAUAUGUUUACAGAAUUAAACAAUUGAUCACUGAGUUAGUUGAGGAAGAUAAUUAAUCACAAUGUCUGAAGCUGUUGCUGUUGGCGUCACCUAUUGUUAAGAUUUCAUCCUUUUUUAUGGUUUUACAUAGCUGUGACCUAAAGCUUAAUGUAUACGUUGAUAAUUACAUAAUUGGUUUCUUGCUGAUACUUGGCUUUAAUUUGUAAGCCUGAGGCUCUUUCGGGAAUUGAGAAGAUUUACGGAAGAGGAGUUUCUGAUUAUCUGGUUUGUUCUCUUUAUGCUUACAGAAUUUGAAUUAACGCUCUGCAUGAAUUUAUGAUUCAUUUUUUUUGGAGAAAUAUUUUAUGAAAUUGAAGCAUUGGAGUAAAGCGUACUAGUCGUAAGCUUGAUUCACUUUGUUUUGAUUUUAUUACCAAGAGGUGCUAACAGUUCAUGAUGCAUAAAAGAGGGGGAAAAAAACUCUUCUUGGUAGAUACAUAAAUUUUAGUUUCUGAAUCAUUUUCAACGAAAGAAAUAAUUUUACAGAGGCUGAAGAGCAGCAUUUUCAUUUAUAUGAAAGUUCAAUUGUUAUAUCAUCUGUUUCCAUAUCUUUUGUGGUAAAUAAAGUCCUUGAUGAUGGCAUAAGAGCACAGAAGAGUUGUUAGUUUCAUAUGUGGAGAUUUUCAUCAUAGUAGUUCAUUGAAAGUGAAGGCAGCUGAAUACCCUUUUUUCUGAUGCAGUCUGUCCCUCUUUGGUGUGAUUAUUUAAAAUUUGUGCAAGAAUAUGAUCCAUCUAUACGCGAAUGUUUACCCAAUGGCACUUCAAAGGCAAGGAAUCUAUUUGAGCGGCUAUUACUGCUGCUGGUCUGCAUGUUUUAGAAGGCAGUGAAAUAUGGGAAUUGUACAGAGAAUUUGAGCUAGCUAUAUUUAGUAGGAUUGAUAAGAUUAACUUGAAUGUGAAAUAUUUUAAUUUAUUUUACUUUUUUUUGGGCUUAAAUAACGAGUUUAUUCCCAUCUAUAGAAAGAAAAAGGGAAGGUUUUUUUUUUUUUUGCUGGGGGGGGUGUUUCCAACCCUAGCACAUGACAAGCAUUCCAAGACCCUUGCUGCUUGUUUUGCAGGAAAAGGAAAAACAGGUUCUGCGGAUUCGAAGUAUAUUUCAUCGCCAGUUGUCUGUUCCCCUUGCUAACUCAAGUGCAACUCUUCUUGCCUACAAAUCUUGGGAGCUCAAACAGGGGGCUGUUCUUGAUGUUGAAUCUAGUAAUGUAGAUGGGAUUUCUUCUAAUGUUGCCGCAGCAUACCAAAAGGCAUUGGAGAUGUGUAAUGCACGAGCUCAUGUUGAAGAGCAGAUUUCUAGGCAGGAUUUAUCUGACUCAGAGAAAUUUCAACAAUACAUGGCAGAUGACUUUACUAUCGUCAUUUGAUAGCUUUUUAUAGUAAGUGAAAUCCAGCCCUAAAAAUUUUAUUAAUAUGAAUAUUUUUUUGGGGGGAUUUCUUCUUAUGGCAUUAUUAUUUUGCUUUUGUGUAGCUAACAAUUAAUAUGUGCACUUUAAAUAUUAUCUAUUGUUUCUUAGCAAAUAAUAGUAAUAAUAAUAAGUAAUAAAUAAUUAAUAUCUGCAUUGUCAAAUAAUAAUAAUAAUAAUGUCUGCUCUUUUUACUCUUGGGGGGGGGGGCAUGCAGUGUCAUUAUCUUCCUUCUUCUCCUUUUUCUAUUUUGUGCUUUCAAGUUUAAUAUUAUUAUAUUAAUCUGUUAUUGUUGUAGAUAUACUUGAAGUAUGAGCAAUCUUCUGGAGAUCCUGGUAGAGUUCAACUUCUUUAUGAACGGGCUAUUACCGACUUUCCUGUAUCAAGUGAUCUCUGGCUUGAUUAUACUCGUUAUCUUGACAAAACAUUAAAGGUUUAUCCUUCUAUUUUCUAUUUUACUUCUUCUGUUGCAGCUAUUUGUAUACUAAUCGACUCUCCUCUUCAGGUUGGUAAUGUUGUGAGAGAUGUUUAUUCCAGGGCUACAAAAAAUUGUCCCUGGGUAGGAAAACUUUGGGUACGAUCUUUGCUUUCUCUGGAACAUGGCCGUGUUUCUGAGGAGGAGAUAUCCACUGUAGGUUUAAUUGUUACCCUUCAUUCUGAGCUUAAUCAAUUUUCCUGAAUGUAUUCAUUCUGAGCUUAAUCAAGUUUCCUGAAUGUAAUUGAUUUUGAUUGUUUGAAGUUAAAGAAAUGAUCAGCUUCCUAGGCAAAUUUCUUGGCAAGCACUUGAUUGUGGGAGUAACUGAGGAGAAGCAUUCCCUAGUGUUUUUUUUUGUUUUUCUCCUCCCCUAAAAUUGCAAUAUACUUCCCUUGAAGAGUAUUUUUUGCUUUAGCAUUUACACAUCUGUACAGAAGCAAACAUGAAUCAGAGAGAUUUAGUGGGCAAAUUCACCUGUGCUGACAAAUUAAAGCAUAUUAAAUACCGCGGUGGUUGUUGGAAUGCUCCAAAAAGUGUUUUCUUGGUGCUCCUGCUCCUUUUGCACUUUCAUAGUGUUUUAAUAACUGGGUUGUUUAAAUGUCCUGUACUUAUUUUCUUUACAAAUGUCUUUGUAUUUUUUUAAAUUUAUAAAAGAUUGUUCUAAUUAUAUUAAUAGCAACAAAUUGCGCAAACUCAAAUCUUAAUUUCAUUCUGCCCCUAUUACAUAUAUACGGGAUUCUCCUAUUAUUUCAUCAAAUUUUCCAUUACUAAUUUCAGGUCUUUGAGAAGUCACUACUAUGUACUUUUUCAACCUUUGAGGAGGUAGAGAUAUAAUCUUAUGUCUUCUGUACAUACCUUGGUUUCUUGAGCUGUAUGAUUUGGUAUAUAUCUACUUCUGAUUCAUCAUGCAUUUUUUUGUUAACUGGUUCUUUUUUGUUUGAGUACCUAGAUCUAUUCCUUACUUGAAUAGAUGGUUUGAGGUGGAGAAUUUUAUUCUCCGGUGAAGUUGAGGGCGCCUUGGAUUAUUCAUUGAUAACGGAAACCCUUCAGGUUUGUAAACUUAUACUGUUGGCUAUUCAAUAUUAAAAUUGGUUAUACUCCUUAAUAUCAAGAAAUUGAAGCUUCCCAAAUCAUACCCAAGAAAUGCUCUAUUGUGGAUUACUGGAUGGAGCUAGUUGCUAGAUGAUACCUUUAAGAUUCAAGACAUAUGUUGUUUUGUGUAUGGCUAUCAAGUACUUUGGCCUGCAAUUGUGGCAUAUUGGUCUUACGCCAGCAUCAGGUAUAACAUUGUGUCUGGCAUAUAUACCAUUGGAAUUCUGGGUUUCUGUUGAGUGGGCUCCAACAGCUAUAUUUGUGUCCAAUGUUGUGGGGUCCUCUUCUUUGGUGCUUUUAAGUGAAGUUUUAACUUUCCUUGUCAAAAUUUUGUUACAAAUCAAGUAGAAGGCACUGCACUGAAGCAUUGGUACUUCUAGAUUGCUUGUUUUGCAUGGUAGAUUUCAAUCCAUUGCUUUUAUUUCUUGGAUCAUGUUUAUCAUUGAGGACUUUCUUGGCCAGUCAUAGAGCUGACUAGUGCUACCAUCAUCAUUGGUAGGGCAAAAAAGUCAAUUCCUAUGGGAUGCUUUCUGACUUAGAGAAGAUGUCUUCAAGAAUUUGUGGAUUUAAGUCUUCACACGAUGUUCAACUCUUGAUAGUCUAACCUUGGUACAGGAUUUAUAGCUGUCUUCCAAGUUUGUGCUCAUAAAUGAGUAACCUGUCUGUCUUUAUGAUACCAGUUAAAUUUGUUAGCUUUCCGGGAUUUGGAGGUUGUAAAUGUCCAUAAACAACAAUGUCUUCUCUUCCUUACAGCGUGCAUCAGAUUACUUGUCAGAACAGAUGAAAAAUAACAAUGGUUUGCUGCGUUUGUAUGCUUAUUGGGCACGUCUUGAACAAACUAUGGGAAAAGAUACGGUUUCAGCUCGUAGUGUCUGGGAGAGGCUACUUAAGAUCAGGUUCACCAAUUUUAAUUUUUGCCAGUGCAUACAUAGCAAAAUUUCUUUAUAUCUAUAUAUUUUCGGAUAACUUGUGCUUCUCUUAAUGCAGUGGUACAAUGUUGGAAGCCUGGCAAAGUUAUAUAUCUGUGGAAAUUGAAUUGGGUCAUAUUAAUGAAGCUAGAUCCAUCGACAAGAGAUGCUACAGUAAAAGAUUUACAAGGACAGGUUCAGAGGUAAAUUUCUUUCAUCCUGCUUCUUUAAUGAAUAUUAACUGCUUAACAACGUACCUUGUUGUUUCCAUCUUGUUUGUUUAACUGGUCUUAUUUGUAAACACCUGAAAUCAUACAUCUUAAUUUCUGAUAAUUAGAUGUUAUUUUAGAUAUCUGUAUCUGUUAAUGUUCUUUCAAGUCUGAUUCCAAUGCAUAUUUAGUUAAACUGCUCUUUACUGCAUUUUGGAUUAGUUGAUAUCUUCCUUUCCUAAAAACAGAAUCAUUCAGGACAUAUGCCAUGCUUGGCUGCAAUUUGAAUGGGAAUUUUGUAUAAAAUUUUUAAUGAAUUUAUGGGUUUGAUGAGUAAAAUUAGGGGUUCAUAUAGACUCACCCAUAAAUUGAACCCUUAUUUUAUGUUGAUGCACAACUUAACUUAACAAAAAUAAUGUUCAAAUUGUCACAAAAUUUGAAAAAAAAAUCAUACAGUUAAUUUUUCUUCUACUUUACUCCAUUAUUCAAUGGGCAUAUAAUAAAUUAGGAGAGGGGAGAAAUAAAGGGGAAAAUUAGAGUAUUGUCGCAAUGAUACACUGAUACAAAUGCCCAUUGAGUGAUUGUCAAUGGGCAUAUAAUAAAUUAGGAGAGGGGAGAAAUAAAGGGGAAAAUUAGAGUGAUUGUCACAAUGAUACACUGAUACAAAUGCUUAUGUAUGUGUAGUGUGUGUGUGGGGCGUUCUUUAAUUUGACCAAAAAUAAAUGCAUUUAUUUGUAUUUUUAAUCAAAAUCGAGGGAUAUAAACAAAAAUUUUACCACUCCAGAGUCCAGACAUGUAUCAUUGCCUCGUUAAAAAAAAUUGCAUAAAAUUAAAAAACCAUUAGUGGCUGAAAGAGAGAAACAAAUUAAGAAAGGGUUCAAAAGAUGGAACCCGAAGAGAAAACCCUAGCAACAAUCCCAGAAGAAGAAGAAGAAGAUGGAGACACGGCCAUGCCCGACGUCAAGAACAACCCUAAACCAACAACAACAGCCAACUCUUCGGACUCGAGCGAUGCCUCUGACUCAGACUCGGACUCUGACUCAGAAGAUGAAGCAAAACAGAACAUGGAGCUUCAAACCCUAGAGUAUCAGCUAUCCAAUGAACCCUCCAAUUACGACACCUAUGUUCAAGUAACUUCAAUACACAUAUUUAUUGAGUGAUUUUGUGGAUAACCGUUUGCUUGUUCUUUCUUGGGUUGUGAUAAAAAUGGUUUUUAUCUUUUUUUUUUCAGUAAAUAAAGGUUUUGAGAAAAAUGGGUGAGAUAGAGAAAUUGAGACAAGCUAGGGAAGCCAUGAAUGAGAUUUUUCCAUUGACUCCUGCUAUGUGACAAGAAUGGGUGAGAGAUGAAGCCUCUAUUUCAACUGGGCAUCUGUCAUUUCCUAUUGCAAUGGUUUUUUAUUUUGUGAGCAAAUGUUUUUUUUGCUUAGAGAUAUAGAUGUUUAUGUUAGUUAUUUGCUAAUGUAAGAAGGAACAAAACCUGCUUAAAAGGUAUUAAAGAAAGAAAAAAGGAACCAAUUUAAAGAAGGGGAUACUUAUAGUGGGAGUUCUACUUUGGGGUUUAAUUGAUGGAAAGAAGAAAUAGCUUAUAUGUUUACAGAAUUAGACAUUUGAUCGCUGAGUUAGUUGAGGAAGAUGGUUAAUCACAAUGUCUGAUGUUGUUUCUGUUGGCCUGAACUAGUUGUUAAGAUUUCAUACUUUCAUUCAACAAUACAAUAGACUUUGAUUGGGUCCACCGUAGUUGGGUGUUCUGAGGAAUCAAUGAGUGUCUUGAGAAAACUUGGGUGGAGUGCUGGUCAUUUUCAGGAUUCAGUUUCCAAGAAAACAAAAAUGAAGUCGUAGUUGUAGUUUAAAUUAAUUUAUGUUUUUAUCUUUUUCUGUGAGCCCAGUGAGCUUUUAUUUUCACUUUGUUCGCUUUUGUUUCUUUCCCUUCUUUUCCUACAGUUUCUUGAUAAUCAAACAGAUCAGGAUUAAGUGUUUACUUUUGGUUAGGGGUGGGCGUUCGGUUCGGGUUAACCCGAACUAAACCGAACCUGAAAUUUAUUUCGGGUUCGGUUCGGUUUGGGUUAACUCGUGCAACCCGAACGGAUUCAAAGCUUCAAUCUGUUCGGGUUAAAUUUCGGUUCGGGUUCAACCCGAACCGAAUUUUCAACCCGUUCGGGUUGAAGCUUUUUUUUUUUUAAAGAUUUAGCUUUUAAAUUAAAAAUAUAUAUACAUUAAUUAAACCAAAAAAUCCCUAAAAAUGAAAAAUCCCUAAACAAAAAUCUCUCCCUCUCGGCCUCCCCCUCCUUGCUCCCUCUUCUCACUUCUCAGUUCUCACUUUCUGUGAACUGUGGUUGAUGACAUCAGCACUUCAGCAGCAGCCACAGCAGCCCCGUUCAGCUCCAACAGACACCAGCCGGCCUCAUCGUCUCACUCCCUCCCCCUCCUUGCUCCAUCGUUUCACUCCCUCCCACGACGACAACACUCACAGGCCACAACAGCAGCCAGCAGCCCCGUUCACAGCAGCCCACUCGCGUCAGCCAGCACGCCUCGCCCGCAACUGCGCUGUGCGUUCAGCUCGCGUCCCACUCAGCCCAGGAAGUCUCGAUCUGCCAACGCUGUAGCUGCUCUGACCUCCGAGAUUAAGGUUUGUCUUGCCUUGCCGACGGCGACGCUGUAACUUGCUGACUUGCACGCAACUGAUGGCAACAACCCGAAUUGAAUUUUAAGUUUUUAACAGCCUGUUGCUAUUAAUUAAAUUGUAAAUUUUUAAUUAAUUGAUUGACAAUUAUUCAAUUAUUUGAAGUGGGUUUGUUGUUGUUGAUUGAUAAUUGAACCCGAACUAAUCCAAACUAACCCGAAUUAACCCGAACCGAAAUUGUAACCCGAAUUAUCAACCCAAUCCGAUCCGAAUUGUCAAUCCAAACCGAACCGAACCGAAUUGGUUCGGGUUGGCGUUUUCAACCCGAUUGGGUUCAAUUCUCCAACCCGAACGGGUUGAAACCCAAACCGAAACCCGAACAACCCGAACCGAAACCCGAAACGCCCACCCCUACUUUUGGUGUAAUUAUUCACUCUAACUCGAAUAGUACUUAGGUUUAGUGCUAACAAAAUAGGAAGUGAAUUAAUAUCUGAAGUUGACCUAGGAGUGGAAUGAAUGUUACCAAAAAUAUACUAUAUGGUAGAUAGAAUUUGCCUUUUAGGUAAGACAAAAAUAAUUACAGCUGUUAAUUUAUUUCAAUAAGUUCGUACAUCAUUGAAUAAUAAGUCCAAGAUUUUAAUGGUUUUGUUUCCUGAAAAUUUGUCACGAGUGCAUGAACAAAGUUCUAUGGAUGAACUUCUCUUAGUUAAUUUGAGUUCAAUGUCGCAGUUCCUCAUAUUAACUAUAUAAAACACUAAUCUUGCUCUUUACUUUGGAGCAUUUUAAUAAUUGAUGCUAAUUCCUUAGCCAUUUUAUUCAUCUUGUGCAUAAAUUAUGCAAUCAAUAAGCCAACUCCACUUUCAUCUUUAUUUAGUGAAAAAUUUGCAAGGUCACUAGGAGGUUUUUGUAUGUCUCAUGCUAACAUGGACGCCAUGGUUUCACUAUGUAAAUUUUCCCCACUGAAAUUCAUGAUCCCUCAUAUACCACUCAUCACUCAUGAAGCUGUUUCUGGGGCUUUAAAAGCGCCAAAUUUUAGUUUUAUCCUUUCUAGCUUAUUAACCUGUCCGCAUCUGCAUUAUUAUCUUUCCUGUCAUACGAAAGUUUCAUUUAUCAUCUUCCCAACAUAAACAUCCGUAGGUCAUUGUUGACUUUUUUGCUUUGACACUUAUUGUUUCUAAGUAUAGGCUACCAAGGGAGAAAAAAAUUGACAUUGAUGGUCAUCCCCAGCAUUUUUAUCCCAGGAGACUGGUCAUUCACUUUCUAUGAAGGACUAUAUAGACAUCCAGACUCUAUUUUGAAGGACAAAGCUGUGGCUGAGCUUGGUUGUGGAAAUGGAUGGAUAACCAUUGCCAUAGCUGAGAAGUGGUUGCCUUUGAAGUUUUGUUGGUUUGUCGUCCUUAUGCCAUGUGAGAGCUUUUAUUUCCUUCCCUACCAGUGCCUUCAGGGGCUCCAUCAUGAUUUCUCUCAUCAUUUUCUAUCUCUGUGUUUUGCAAGGCCAUUUGAUAUUUAUAACAGCAUUGGCACCAGGUUAUGGUGAUUUAAUGCACUCCUAUUAGGAAAAAUUACAUAAUUAUCAACUCUGUCCUUGUCCAAAAGUCUUUGUUGGAGUAUGUUGAAAAUAUAACCUUGUAGGAGUUCUUUUAUGCUGUCUGAAUAUCCUAUUGCAGGUCUAUGGCCUUGAUAUUAAUCCCAGAGCAAUAAAGAUCUCUUGGAUAAAAUUGUACUUAAAUGCAUUAGAUGAAUCUUUUUCUAAGCUUUUCUGUCACUGUCACUGCAAAAGGUCUUUUGUAUUGAGGGUUAUCUGUGGGGCUAGGAAAGGUCAGCCCAUCUAUGAUGCGGUGAAGAAAACCUUACUGGAUAGGGUGGAGUUUGAUGAAUCUAAUCUCCUAGCAUAUUGUAGACAUCAUGACAUUCAACUUGAAUGAAUAGUGGGGUGCAGACCUCAGGUACUCUCACUUUCUGCAACUCAUGAUAUUUCUAGGGGAUUAAAUUUUAGUGAAGUUUGUUUACCCAACAUCAAGUUGGAAUUUUAGUGUGCCCACAUGGAUUACUUUUAACUCCUAGUUUAACUUAUUCUGUUGUCUCCAUGCAGGUUCUCAACCCCAAUUCCAAUGCAAUGUCGAAAAUAAUCACUGAAAAUGCAAGCGAGGAAUUUCUGUAUUCAUUGAGUAACUAUUGUGGAUUGCAGGUUGGAAGAUAUUCUAAAUAAUUUAAUUGUGAUGCGCAAUUGCAAUUGCCGGGAAGUUAGCAAUUAAGUUGAUAGGCUUCUUCUGGUUUCACAUAUUUCUAAGUAACAACUUUGGUUUGAAGCUUGCAUACCUUAGGUAAGGUUGAUGUCUUUAGUUGGUCAAUAUCAAUUGGGAAAUAUAGCUAACCAGUGAAGACAGUGGGAAAAGGAUGAUGUGAGUUUGACAAAUGCUGGGAGGAGAUAGGGAAACUUAAUCUGAAAGAUUUCUUUUUUUUUCUUGGUUUAUUUAUUUAUUUACUCGUGUGACCUCUUCACAAUGCCAUUGAUUCCCAUAGUUCAUGUUGCUAGGUGAACUUAACAACAACCAUCUAUUAUGCCUUGUGGAUAACUGAGAAAAUUUAUUGCUUUGGACAAGUUGCUUUUUGAAAUAGAGUGCAAGUAGAUUGACUAAUAAUGAACUUAUUGUAUCAAGUUGUUACAUUUGAAUAUAUUAAGGUCAUAUAAAGCUUACUUGUUAUACUUCUUUUUUUCUUUUUUCCCUCCCCAUUUCCCUGUAUGGAGGGUUUCUUGGACGAUCAGUUUGGCUUAGGUCUAAUUUUCUCGAGCAGUUAAGGAAUUACUGUUAUCAAAAUAAAGUUUCCUCUCACUCACUAGCCAAUUGAGCAGCUCGUCACCGGUCGGAUUCAUUGCCGAUUGCAGCCCACCUCCAUCAUGUCAGUUCAGUAGCUUGUCGCUGCAGUCAUGAUCGGCCUCUUUGUUGUCGUUGAAGAACCAAUCAAUAAUGAUGAUGAUUGAUGAUGAUGAUGAUUACCAUUGUUGAUGAUUAAUAUUAUUGAUGAUGAUGAUGUAGAUGAUGUAAUUGCGGUGAGAUGAUGAAGAUGAAACUGAAUUGUGAUGUUGAUAAUGAAAUUGACAGAAGGAAGAAGAAGAUUGUGAAAAAUCUGACUUCUUCACUCGUAUUACAUUAGAGAAGAAUACAUAUUUAUAUACAUUACACCCUAGGAAUAAAAUGGUAAAAAAAAAACAGCUAAGAUAUUGCAAAUCAGUAUCCCUGAAAAUUAGGGAUUAUAUAUCCUAAAAUCUAGUAUUUAAGUCAACACAUAGCUGUAAAAUACAGCUAACAUCUACAACAAUAGUCAACACACAGCUGUAAAAUACAACUGACAUCUGCAACACUCCCCCUCAAGCUGGAGCAUAGAUAUUCUUCAUGCCUAGCUUGCAUACAAACUCUUCAAACUUGUGUCCAUGCAUUCCUUUUGUCAACAUAUCUGCAGUUUGUUGUCCUGUUAGAAUAUACACCAAACAGAUAACUCCAGUUUCCAAUUUCUCUUUAAUAAAAUGUCGGUCUACCUCCACAUGUUUUGUCCUGUCAUGAUGGACAGGAUUAUGGGCAAUAUUAAUUGCUGCCUUAUUGUCACAGUAAAGUUGCAUAGAACUAUUUUUUAUUAACUGUAGUUCUUUGAGAACACGUUCUAUCCACAUAAGCUCACAUACCGCAUGUGCUAGUGCUCGAAAUUCUGCUUCUGCACUGCUUCGUGCCACUACAGUUUGCUUCUUGCUUCUCCAAGUUACAAGGUUUCCCCACACCUUAGUACAAUAACCCGUUGUAGACUUCCUAUCCAUGAUGUUUCCAGCCCAAUCCGCAUCAACAAAAGCUUCUACAUUCCUUUUUUCUCCCUUCUCAAAAUAAAGUCCCUUUCCCGGUGUUGACUUCAGGUAUUGAAGUAUUCGGUUUACUGCCACUAAGUGAGCUUCUUUUGGGGCGUGCAUAAACUGGCUCACUAAGCUAACCGCAAAAGCAAUAUCAAGUCUAGUAUGGGAAAGAUAAAUUAAUCUCCCUACUAGCCUUUGAUAUCUCCCCCUCUCCACGGGUGCACUAUUUUCUUCAAGACCCAACUUGCUAUUUGGUUCAAUUGGUGUGGCAGCAGGUUUACAGCCAAUCAUACCAGUAUCCUUUAGCAAAUCUAGGGUGCAUUUCCGUUGUGUAACUAGAAUACCUUUAGCUGUUCUAGCUACCUCCAUUCCCAAAAAAUAACGUAGUGGUCCAAGAUCCUUGAUUUCAAACUCACCAGCUAAUUUUUCUUUUAAUCCUUCCAGCUCUUCUUUGUCAUCUCCUGUUAGUAUAAUGUCAUUAACAUACACGAUCAAAAUAGCUAACUUCCCUUCUUUAGACCGUUUGUAGAACAUAGUAUGAUCGGCUUGCCCUUAAGAAUAACCAUAGUUCUUCAAGACUUUCCAAAUCGAUCGAACCAAGCCCUAGGGGACUGUUUAAGGCCAUAGAGAGACCUUUUUAACCGACAAACUCUUCCAGCAGGUCCUUUUUCUUCAAAACCAGGCGGCAUAUCCAUGUAAACUUCCUCUUCCAAUUCUCCAUUCAAGAAUGCAUUCUUGAUAUCAAGUUGGUUGAGAGGCCAAUCUAAAUUUGCAGCAAGAGAGAGAAGGAUCCUUACAGUAUUAAGCUUUGCCACUGGAGCAAAAGUUUCUAGAUAGUCCACCCCAUAGGUUUGUGUGAAACCUUUCGCCACGAGUCUUGCUUUAUACCUGUCCACACUUCCAUCAACCUUAAAUUUGACUGUAAAUACCCACUUGCACCCCACAGUCCUCUUGUCUUUAGGUCUUGGUACAAGCUUCCAUGUGUUAUUCUUUAUUAAGGCUGCCAUUUCUUCUUAAACAGUUUUCUUCCACUCAUUUGACUCUAGGGCUUCAUGGAUGUUUCUUGGAAUAGUGGUAUUAGAUAGACUGGCCACAAAAUUCCUAUACUCCUUAGAUAGAUUUGCAUAUGACAAGAACUUGUUGAUAGGAUGUUUAGUGCAAUUUCUUACCCCUUUCCUUAUCGCAAUAGGCAAAUCUGUGGACUUCUGAGCUUCGUUCUCAGCAUAUUCAGUAGGUGGGUUUUGAUCCUCCCUUAGUUCAGAUCUCGGUUCUGCUUGGUCUAUAAGUGGCUGUACCUCUUGAGUUUUAUUCUUCUUUCGUGAAUAGACAUGAAACUCGCCUAUAGGUUCCUCCAAAUGUGAAUUGGUUUUUAUUCCUUCAUUCCUUGGUGACACUAUUGGUUGAUUAAGUUCUAUGGUGUUAGGUAGGUUAGGAUGAAUGUCUGGACUGAGGAAGGAGGUAUUUGGUAGAUUGAGUUCUAGGCUGGAAUUACUGGACAUAUUAGGUUCUAGGCUGGAACAUCUGGACAUAUUGGGUUCUAGGCUGGAACUACUGGACAUAUUGGGUUCUAGGCUGAAAUUACUAGGCAUCUUAGGUUCUAAAAUGCCAAGAAGAUCCCAGGAAUUAUCUUCUCUCAAAUUCUGCCCCUGAAGAGAAUUACUCGUGUAAAAAGGCUGAUUUCAAAGAACUUGACAUCCAUUGUGACGAAUAAUUUUUUGGUAAGAGGAUUAUAACACUUGAACCCUUUCUUGGUAGGAGAAUAUCCUAGAAAUAGGCACUUGAUGGCUCUAGGAGACAACUUUGUUCUUUGAAGACUCGGAAGAUAUACAAAGGCUGUACAACCAAAAGUUUUGAGUGCAAAAUUAGAGGUAACAAGGUGAUUUUGUGGGUAGCUGUCAAGAAAAACAAAAAUAGGUGUCUUGAAUUUAAGAACUCGAGAGGGCAUACGAUUUAUGAGAUAAGAUGCUGUAAGAAUGGCCUCUCCCCAAUAUAUUUUUGGUACAUUAGUUGUGAACAUAAUGACCCUAGCAACCUCUAAAAGGUGUCUGUUUUACGUUCUGCAACCCCAUUUUGUUGUGGUGUUUCGGAACAAGAACUUUGGUGGACAAUUCCUUGUUGUGAUAGGUAAUUCCCUAAAAUAGAAUUGAAAUACUCAGUUCCAUUAUCUGUACGGAGUACACGAUUUUCAGUUUGAAACUGAGUUUUUACCAUGACAUGGAAUUGUUUAAAAGUUUGUCCAGCUUCAGAUUUUUCCUUCAAAAGGUACACCCAAGUGGUCCUAGAGUGGUCAUCUAUGAAUGUUAUGAACCAUUUUGCUUUUGACAGGUUGUUAACCCUUGAGGGGCCCCAAAUAUCACUAUGAAUCAAAGAGAAAGGCUGGGAUGGUUUAUAAGUACGGGUAGGAAAUGAAACACGUGUUUGUUUAGCCAUUUAACAAAAGUCACAAUAUAAUAAACUCAAAUUUUGAUUUUUAAAUAAGGAAGGAAACAAGGUUUUUAGAUAUGGAAAGCUAGGGUGGCCUAACCUAUAGUGCCACAACAUUAUUUCAGAAGAAACAAAUUCACAUUGAGAGACCUGAGCAUGUCCUUUCACGAGUCUUUUAUUCUCGAGAUAGUACAGUCCCUCAUAUUCCUUUGCAUUCCUAGUCAUCCUCCCCAAGAUUGGAUCCUGAAAUAGACAUUUAGAACCACAGAAUUUAGCUACACAGUUUGUGUCUUUAGUAAGUUUACUAACUGAAAGAAGAUUGCAUUUAAGAUUUGGGACAUGUAAAACUGAAAAAGAGUCAAACAAUUUGAUAGUUUUACUGUUCCUUUUCCAGCAACAGUGGAUAAUGAUCCAUCAGCAAUCCUCACUUUAUAAUUACCUGGACAUGGAGUGUAACUAGAGAAAAAUUGAGAAGACCCUGUCAUAUGGUCUGAGGUCCCUGAAUCAACAAUCCAAGAACCUUUUUCAAGGGAUUGGAUGCUAAGGGCUGAUGGGUUACCUGUAUGGACUGCAUUACAACUAGAGGAGGUCAAGUCAUUUUUAUUUGCUUGCUGAUUUUGUAUAAGGAGCUGUUGCAGCAUCUCAAAUUGAUCUUUUGCGAGGGCAAACUGAUUAGUUUUCUCUGUCACCAUUCCCUUUGCUUCUUGCUGCCGUUUUGGUUUCCAAUCUGCUGGCUUUCCAUGAAGCCUCCAGCAUGAGUCUCGAGUAUGCCCUUUCUUGUGACAAUAGUCGCAAUAGGGACGUUCUCCAUGUUUUUGUCCCUUUUGGUUAGCUGACUGAUCUGUCUUUUUGGUCACCAGCGCUGAUCUCUCCGCCUCAGGUUCCUUCACCAGUCCCAUCAUGACUCUCUUUCGACUUUCUUCACGCCCCACCUCAACAAAAGCUUCUCGGAUGGAGGGUAGAGGAUUCUUUCCUAAUAUUCUGCCACGAACUUCAUCAAGUUCUUUGUUGAGUCCAUAAAGGAAAUCAAAGAGACGUUCUUUAUCCAACAUCCUCUUAUUUUGAUGGCAUCCUCAGAGCAAUGCCAUUGCGAUUCAUAGUAAAGGUCAAGUUCAUGCCAUAUAUUGUUUAGAGAAUUGAAAUAUUGAGUCACUGAAAGACUCCCUUGCUUUUGGUCACGUAAUUGUGACUUGAUUUCAAAGAGCUGAGCUGCAUUCCCCAGGUCAGAGUAAGUUUCUGUCACGGCUUCCCAAAGCUCCUUCGCAGAUGGUAGGAAGAGAUAAGUCCUACCAAUAUCCACGUCCAUCGAGUUGAUCAACCAAGUUUGCACCAUUGAAUUUUCAGCAUCCCACUGUGGAUAACCUGGAUCCAAGACAUCAGGGGCUUUGGUUUCCCCUGUAAUAUACCCUAAUCGGCCUUUGCCACGAAGAAAUAGGGUGACAGAUUGAGACCAUUGCAAAAAGUUUCUGCCAUUUAACUUGUGCAAAGUUAUUUGCAAAGAGGGGUUUUCGGUACCUAAGGAGACCGAAGAGAUGUCCUGCCUUGUUACAGAACUGGAGGAAAUCUCAGAUUCUUGUGUAGGGUUUGUUGUCUUCUCCAUUGGAUGGGUUGAGAGUUUAGAAUGAGAAAAAAAUUCAGAGGCUUAGUUUAAAAGAGUUGCUCUGAUACCAUGUGAAAAAUCAGACUUCUUCACUUGUAUUACAUUAGAGAAGAAUACAUAUUUAUAUACAUUACACCCUAGGAAUAAAAUGGUAAAAGAAAAAAAAGCUAAGAUAUUGCAAAUCAAUAUCCCUGAAAAUUAGGGAUUAUAUAUCCUAAAAUCUAGUAUUUAAGUCAACACAUAGCUGUAAAAUACAGCUAACAUCUACAACAAUAGUCAACACACAGCUGUAAAAUACAGCUGACAUCUGCAACAAAGAUAAUUGUGGUGAUGAUGAUGAUGUUGAUGGAGAAGAUGAAAUUGACAUGAUUGAUGAUGAAGUAACGAAGAAUUUGUAAAACACACACACACACACACACAGAGAGAGAGAGAGAGAGAGAGAGAGAGAGAGAGAGAGAGAGAGAGAGAGAGAGGAGAAGAGGAUAAAAAAAAAGAUAGAGAAAAACAGGAGAGAAAAUAAUAACAAAAACAAAAGAGGAAAAUAAUUAUUAUUGUUAUUAUUAUUAUUAACAAUAACUUUCUUAAUAACCAUAAUCAUAUAAUAGAUAAUAAAAAUAGAAGGUAAUAAUAACUAAGGGUAUUUUAAUAAUUUAAAUAAUUUAUUGUAAUUUCAAGGUAAAGUAAAUAUAUUAAUGAUAAUACAGUUUAUUUUAAUUUUGAUUCUUAUAAUUGAAGUAAAUAAUUUAUUUUAAUUUUUAUUUCACAUUUUAAUUUUAUUCUAUUCUGAAUUAGUAAACGCAUCAUAAAAUCAUGUGAUUCUACUCUAUAUGUGAGAUUGAUUUUUUUCUUUAAGGCCUACGACAUCCCAAUACAAGUCUAUAUAGGACCAAGCUACUAAGUGGACGGUCAUAAAAACUUAAAAAGGCAUAAAAUUGGAUGGCCGUCUAAUUAAUUUCCCGUGACCUACAACAAAAAUUUAAGAAGGAACUCCGAUACCAUCAAUUCUGCAUUUUAAUUUGAAGUUGGAAAACAGUGAAAACAGAAGGAUCGGGUGAUUUAAUUUUAUACAUAUUUAAUCAAGUAAAAAUGGCACGUGCGUUGUAAUUUGCCCAGUUAUCUUACUUUGAAUAAUAACAAAGUUCAAAUUUUGUAUUCAGUGAAAAAUCAAUUCUAUAGUGAAAAACACUAGCUAGAAAAAAAUCUAUGUCCUGAUGUCUUAGUUUAUAAGCUCAAACAAUGAAUAGUAUACAUACAACGCAUGAUAGAACACAAACUCAUAUAGAUUUUUAGUUUUGAAAUUCAUUUCAGAAAAUCUGUUCUGUUCAACAGGUUAUAGAUUAUCAACUAAACUCUGCCCACAUUCUUAGCUCUGCCAUUGGAAGUACGCAACUCAGCUGCCCAUCGACCGCCAAGCCAUCAAGACAAUACCAAGAUACAACAUCAAUAAUAAUAACAUCAAGAAUUACAUAGAGGCCGUCGCACGUUACACCCACUCCAACAGGAAACUAAUUAAUACCCUCCAAGCUCCUCUGUUUCAAAUCCAAAUCCACUGCUCGACCAUUUACUAUGACGUAAGGUAUAUGGAUUAAUUAACAAGUGCCGAUAUUGUCCUCCAUCCUUUUGUGUACCUUUCUUCUGGCAAGGCCUUUUCUGGAAAGUAUUUGAGCUCCAGACAAUUGCAGAAUUUCAAUUUGCUGAGGUUUUGAUGAUCAGCAAUUGAAGAAGACAGGUGUUAAUAAUUAUGAAGAACUGGUGUAAUUUAUAUCAUGUAGGAAGCCCUUCAGUUACUUUUUUGACCGUGCUCAAGCUCUUUUAAGGGCUAAUAUUAAAAUUUCGUGAUAUUGUGCCAAAAGAGCUUCGUACGUCAUUGUAAACUGUUCAUCGUUAUGUGCUGCUUCCCCAUUUAAUUACAUUUAUUUAACAUUUUAAAGAUGGAAGUAGAAAUUAAAACUCAGUUUUUCAGAUAUGGCUCAUAUACAAUGCAAGUAUCAAGAUUUAAUUAGAGUUCAAUAUACAUGCGUCUAGUUUUUAUUGAGAGAAACAAAUCAUAAAUACUCAGGUGUUUCUAAAUGAUUGAAUAACGAUAUUAUUGUUAUUUAUAAAUUUAUAAGGAUAAAUAACUAAUAGUCCACCAUAAAUACCGAAAAGGGUCCCCAGCAUAACUUGAACAACUUUACUUGUGUUUGCUCAUUGAAUAAUGUUAUAAGAAAGAAAUACAUAUGUCAGAAGAUUCAUAGUAUAUUGGAGUGUUUUUUGUACUUGAAUGAGAAUGAAUGAAGGUAUGUUAAUUUACUUUAAAUAAUUGUCUAAAAGGAAUAGAAAUGCUCUAUAACAUACCAAAUACUACCUUAAUCAAAAUUUAUUUGACAAAAAUUUUUAAAAAAUGGAAUAAUUAACCCUAAUUAAAUAAUUGUCUUAUAUCACCAAACUCUUUUUUUUUUAAUUAAGCCAUCACCAAACUCUGUAAAGCAUAAAAUAUAAUAGGCAAAUUUGAGUUAAAAAAAAAUGAAGUUAGGAAAAUGACUUGCAUAUUGUCUUUGAUGAGCGCAUAAUUUUCUUUUAAAAAAAAUGUUGAAAUGAACUCAAACUCGUUAGUGCAACUUGUCGGUUUUAAGUUGUAGAUACGAGUGACAUGUCAUUUUAGCUGAACUAGAUUCCAGAGCUCACAUUUGGGCAGUGUCAUCCAAGAACAUUAAAACUCACGUGACUAUUGCACGCAUGGUUUAAGCUGAAAUGACGUUGCUAGCAGUCGUUUAAGGAAGGCCUUUAAGUGUCACAUGAGUUGCUCGUGAUAGGAGGUUAAAAGCUGUUGGUUUUGGAGGGAAACCCCUGAAGCUGUUACGCCUGCAUCUUCUGGUAUAUAAACGAGCUGGUUCUGGUGUCAUAGUCAGUAAUCAAGGAAAGAGAGAUAAAGCAUCUGUACUGAGAGAAAAUCUUGACAGGGUGGUCUCUGUAUUGUGUAUAAUUUCUCUAUAACCUUGGAAGCUUAAUAAAACUGCUCUCUGUGUUGGUUUUCUCCAGUGGAUGUAGGCACCCUUCAACAGGUGCUGAACCACUUAAGCUCGGUGUGUUCUUUGUCUUUGGGUUAUGAUCUUUGAUCUGUGCAUUGUUCUUUGUUAACGUAAGAUUAGUUCUUGAAUCUUUGAGUCAGAGUUGGGUCUUGGGGUAAGGUUAAUCUAGUAACUAAAGGUUAAUUUCACAACAAUUGGUAUCAGAGCUCUAAACUCUGAUUUCAAGGUUCAAGAAUGGGUUCAAAAGUGGAUCUUGAGAAGUUUACGGGGCAGAAUGAUUUCAAUAUGUGGAAGAUCAAGAUGGAGGCUUUGUUGAUUACUCAAGAGCUGGGAGAAGCCAUAGAUCCAGUCACUAAGAUUGAAGAAGGUGAGGCUUCAUCAUCUAAGAUCCCAGAACAGGUAGCAGAGAUAGACAAGAAAGCCAGGAGCACAAUCAUACUAAGUCUUGGUGACUCUGUAAUUCGAGAAGUGGCCAAGGAAAGGACUGUUGCUGGUUUAUGGGCUAAGUUGGAGAACUUGUAUAUGACAAAGUCUUUGGCAAAUAGACUUUACAUUAAGAAGAAGAUGUUCUCACUGAAGAUGAUUGAAGGGGCAUCAUUAACAGAACAUGUUGAUGAAUUCAAUAAGGUUUGUGAUGAACUGGAGACUAUAGAUGAAGGGCUGAGUGAUGAGAGCAAAGCCUUGCUACUAAUCAGCUCUUUACCAAAGUCUUACGAGCACUUUGUGGAUGCACUGCUGUAUGAGAGGCAAACACUCUCCCUAGAAGAGGUUAAAUCUGCUCUUGGCACAAAGAAGCUGAAAGAUAAGCAAGAUAAUCCAGAAAGUGAAUCAAGUGAGGGAUUGAUGGCAAGAGGCAGGUCUGAGAAAAGAGAUAACAAUGAAAAAAGCAAGGCAGAUCAAAGUCUAAACAAAAGAAUUUGAAGUGUUUUCAUUGCCAUAAAGAAGGGCAUUUCAAGAGAGAUUGCCCUGAAAGAAAGAACAAGAAUAAAGAAACCAAAGAAAGAACAGGUAAUGCAGCCAUAGCCACAGAAGAAGAAUGUAACUUUGAAACAGCCGGAGUACUCAUUGCCACAAGUCAGAAACCUCAAGGUCAGUGGGUCCUUAACUCAGGUUGUACCUUUCAUAUGUGUCCAAAUAGGAGUUAUUUUACAACAUAUCAGCCAUGUGAUGGGGGUAUGGUUCUAAUGGGUAAUAACUCAAUGUGUAAGGUAGCUGGUAUUGGGACUGUUAGCCUUAGGAUGUUUGAUGGGGUGAUAAGGGAAUUGACACAAGUGAGAUUUGUCCCUGAUCUAAAAAGGAACUUAAUCUCAAUUGGCAUGCUAGAUCAAACAGGUUGUGUAAUUAAGGCUGAGAAAUGUGUAUUGAGGGUAAUUAAAGGAUCAAUGGUGAUCAUGAAAGGCAUAAAACAAAAUGGUCUAUAUGUGAUGGAUGGACAUACUGUUGUUGGGGAGGCAAGUGUGACUGACAGUAAAUGGAACAGAUCAAUGAUGUGGCAUUUAAGGAUGGGGCAUAUGAGUGAAAGAGGUUUGAGAGAGUUACAAAAACAAGGAGUGUUUGGGGAUGAUCAAAUAGGAGCUUUGGGGUUCUGUGAGGAUUGUAUUCUAGGAAAAUCCUCCAGGUUAAGGUUUGAGAUUGCAGCUCAUACCACCAAAGAGAAGCUUGAAUACAUACACUCUGAUUUGUGGGGGCCUGUACAAGUAAACUCACUAGGUGGAUGUAGAUAUUUUCUGACUUUUAUAGAUGAUUUUUCAAGGAUGGUUUGGGUCUUUGCACUCAAAAGCAAAGAUGAGGUUCUGGAAAAAUUCAAAAACUGGAAAACUUUUGUUGAGAACCAGACUGGUCUGAAGGUGAAAACUCUGAGGACAGACAAUGGCUUGGAGUAUUGCAACAAGCUGUUUGAAGAAUUCUGUGAAAAGAAUGGUAUUCAGAGGCACAAAACUGUCACCUACACCCCUUAACAGAAUGGCCUUGCUGAGAGGAUGAAUAGGACUCUGGUGGAGAAGGUGAGAUGCAUGUUAAUCUAUUCUAAGCUCCCAAAAACCCUUUGGGCAGAAGCUUUAAACACAGCAUGCUAUCUAGUCAACAGGAGCCCAUCAACUGCUAUAGAUUGUAAAACACCAAUGGAGCUUUGGUCAGGAAGAAGGGCUGACUAUACAAAACUCUGAAUCUUUGGGUGCACAACAUAUGCUCAUGUGAAGUAGGGUAAGCUGGAACCAAGGGCAUUAAAAUGCAGAUUUCUGGGGUAUCCGGAUGGGGUCAAGGGCUAUAGAUUAUAGUGUGUUGACACAAAACCACCACAGUGCAUCAUAAGCAGGGAUGUAAAAUUCCAUGAAGAAGAGCUAUUGAAUAAACCAAAGAGCUCAGAUAACAAUAUGGAAUCAAGCACUGAGACUGAUAUAGUGAAGUUUCAGGUGGAGCCUCAAAACUUGAAAGAACUUGAGCCUGAAAUUGAAGGUACUGAAGCAGAACCUGAAGCUGGUGUUGAACAUGAAUCAGCUGAAAGUGAAGAGAACACCUAUCAGUUGGCUAGAGACAGAAAGAAAAGGACAAUAAAGCCACCUAAAAGAUAUGCAGUAGUUGACUUGAUUGCAUAUGCUUUGAAUGUUGCUCAAGAGCUGAAUGAUGAUGAACCUAGGACCUAUCAAGAAGCUAUCACAGGCAAAAACAAGCUGGAAUGGAAGAGGGCAAUGGAUGAAGAGAUGACAUCCCUGAUUAAAAACAAGACCUGGACAUUGAUUGAAAAACCAGACAAGAGGAAAACAGCAAGCUGCAAAUGGAUCUUCAAAAUUAAAAAUGGUGUACCUGGAGCUGAACCUAGAAGAUUUAAAGCUAGAUUGGUGGCAAGGGGUUUUACACAGAAGGAGGGAAUUGACUUCACUGAAGUAUUUUCUCCUGUGGUGAGACAUGCUUCCAUCAGAGUUAUUCUUGCACUUGUGGCUGUGCAAGAUAUGCAUCUUGAGCAGAUGGAUGUAAAAACAACAUUUCUGCAUGGUGAGUUACAAAAAGAAAUUGUAAUGCAGCAGCCUGAAGGAUAUGUAGCAUCUGGAAAAGAAGACUAUGUUUGCUUACUUAAGAAGUCUCUGUAUGGGUUGAAGCAGUCACAUAGGCAAUGGUAUCUGAGUUUCAGAUAUUUUUGACAUGUCGGUUUAUAACCUUGAUUGUGCAUGCCCUGUCGGUUGCGUGAUGAAACAGGAGAAUAUUGACAUCUGUGUAUUAUCGUUUACUUCCUGCAAUUAAAUCACAUGUUGUUCAUUCCAUUUACACUAUACGGCACAUUUGGCAGUUGUUUUGGUCACUUAUUGAAGCACGGGUUAAGUACUUGAUUCAAGGUUGUUAACUGACCUUUACAAGGCGGGAAAAUUCUGGGUUUGUUAUAACAAACCCCGGAAUGCAGCUAGUGAGUGGGGACUUUUCUAGACUCUUCAUGAUAUGUAUAUAUAGUCUUAGAGGCUAUAGUUGAGACAUAUGAAAAGCUUCUUAAUGUUUGUAGUUUGAUCUCGGUGAUGGAGAUAAGAUUGCUGCCCUGUUCUUCAGUGGAUAUAGGCUAUCUCCAAGCCGAACCACUUAAAUUGUGCCUCUGUUUUGCUUGAUGACUACCAGUGGUGAGAAAACACCUACAGAACAAAUCAAGCUUGAUGACUCAAAUAUUAGGGAAGCCAUAGUCAAGGUAUCUGGUUUAUGCAUCAACAGUGGUUCGUGGACUAGAAUUCCUAUCUAUUGUCGCUUCACAAUUGCACUGGAAGAAAGCGAAUUUGAUCGAGCUUUGGAUCGCAUAGCUAAAUUCAAAAGCAUCGUACAAAUAGUUAACUAAAAGACGGUAUUGUCAUUUGUCAUGAUUUAUUUCUAUUGCCUGAUGAUGAUACCCAUCACGCCUUAGUUGUCGUGAAUAAAUCUAAAAUCAAAUUGAACUGGUUUUUACUGGUUAGCAACAAUUGUGACGUUUUGAGAUUAUAAUAUAUGACAACACUGAUUAGUGUUGUCUCCCAUGUGAAUUGAGACAAAAAUUAUUUUCCCAAUUGCGCUUUCAUUUGAACAAUUCCACUGUAGAUUUAUAAAAUAAUGAUCAAAUUGUGUUUUAUAUUAAGUUACGAGUAAUUGGUUAAACAUUAAUACAAAACUAUUUUAAGUAACAUGUGGCAUAUUCUAAUUCUAGCCAAGCUUCCAACUAAGAUUCCCAAAUCAAAAGAAUUUCAAUCUUCAGAACAUUCUGCAAAACGUUUAGUCUCUACGCAGUGCUAGAAUUUUCCCUAAGUUUCUAUUGCAAAGACUUCUAAAGAACUAUUCAGAUAUCGAGCUAUAAUCCAGUCUAAAGUGCAUAUAUCUCUCUAAUUCACCUCCCUCCAUUUCACCAGAAAAUCAAUAAACACUUAGCUUCAAACAAACACUCUCAAAAAGCUAGCUAGCUAUCCAGAUGGAAAAACCAAGAAUUCUUGCAAUGACAAUGUUGUUUCUUGUUAUGGCAGCAACAUUGAUAAACAUGGCAUCACAAGCAAUAGCUCUGAUGCCGUACACACAAUCACCUUUCUUUGACAUGAUGUUCCCAAUGACGGAAGAGCCUUUCAGGGUUCUUGAACAAACCCCUUUAACAAUCGCAAAAGGAGCUGAUCAUCAUCAAACUCUAGCCCUGGCGAGAGCAGACUGGAUGGAGACACCAACAGCCCACGUGAUCACGCUCGACAUUCCAGGGAUGAAGAAAGAUAAUAUGAAGAUUGAAGUUGAAGAGAACAGAGUACUGAGAGUGAGUGGGGAGAGGAAGAGUAAUGAUUAUUAUAAGGAGGGAGUUGAAGGAGAGAAAUGGCACAAAGCUGAGAGGACAUUUGGCAAGUUUUGGAGGCAGUUUAGGAUGCCAAUGAGUGUUGACUUGGAACAUGUUAAGGCUCACAUGAAAAAUGGGAUUCUGAGGGUCACAGUGCCAAAGCUUGCUGAGGAGAAGAAGAGGCAGCCUAAGGUUAUUAACAUUGAUGAAGAGUCUGGUAAUUCUUCCAAUGAAGAUAUUAAGGCUACCAAGGCUCAAAUGUAAUUAAUUAAAGAAAGAAGUGAUUGCUUUGCUUGAUGUGCUAUUUGUUUAUGAUCUUUUUUUGGUUUUGUUCCGAGAUGUUUCUAUUUGGAUGCUCUAUUUAAUGUAUGUUGAUGGGUUUUUGAGGAAGGCUUGUAUGUAUUGACAACCAUAAAAUACUUUUUAUAAAUCCUAGUCCUACAACACUAAAAGAAAACAAUACGUUUGGUUUAUAGUUAAUAAAAAUAUAUUUUUUUAAAAAAUUCUUUUUCUUUGGCAUAUAGUAUGCGUUUUGAGGGGAAAAAAAUUUAUCCCACUCCUAAUUUGUCAUCUGUGAUAUUAAUGUGUUAGCACGAAGAUUCAUUGUAAUUGCAACAAUUUUGAUGAAUCCAAACGUUCAAUAACUGUUAAAUUGUAUUUUAUAAAUACUAAUAGCGAAGGUACAGAAACGAUUAAUCCAAGAAGUUGCUUAAAGUGCAUUAAAUUAGGGAGUAUAAAUAAUUGUGUGAUACAGUCCAGCCUUUAUCUGCUUAUAAUUAGCAACCAAAAACCAUUUGCAACGCCAUUAAAAAAACAUUUUAACAUUAUUGCUGAGGGAAGAGGCAGCUUAGGCUUAUUAACUCGUAUUAUUAAUGCUGAUGACGCAGCUGGUAAUCCUUUUGGUGAAUAUAAUAAGGUAGCUGAAGCUUAUAAUUAUUUAAGCCCACUAAAGCUUAAAACUAAUUCUUCUAGUGACGAUGCUUUGCUUAGUUUGCUUUUUGUUUUUAAUUUUUUUGGGGCUAACAUUUUGCUUAUUUUGCUUUUAAAAUUCUAUUCGCGUUGCUGUGAAAUAUUGUUUGUCCUUCCAUUUUCUGUUUUUGUUGUUAUCGGAUUUGAUGAUGGUUUAUAUGUACGAAGAUUAUGUAAUAAAGUCUUUUUCUUUGGCCUUUAUUAUGCAUUUUAAUACGAAAAAAAAUUAUCCCACUCCAAUUCAUGAAGAUAUUCUCAUUUCUGUCAUAUUGAUGUGUUAAUAUAAAGAUCCAUUGCAGUUGGUGAAUUCAAAUAUUCAGUAACUGAUGAAAUUGUAUUUAUAAAUUCAUAGUAAUAGCAAUUGAAGAUUAUAAUUAAUUUUGUAAUAUGGUCAAGCCCUCGUGUGUUUAAUUAGCACUCAAAAACCACUUUACAAUAGUCAUUAAAAGAACAUUAUAACGUCAUUACUGAUGAGUUCUGGUGAAGAUAUUAAGUUAAGGCCACAAAAAUCGAAAUGUACGUGGCUUCGUUUGUUUUUUGUUUUGAUUUUUUUUGGGGGCAAAUGCUUGGCUUCGUUUUUGAUAUUUUAUUGGCUUUAUUGUGUGGCAUGUUCUUGUUUUCUUUUGAUUUUCUGUUUUUGUUUGUUAUGGGAUUUGAUGACGAUGUACAUGUACGAAGAUUAUGUAAUAAAAUGCUUUUGAUAAAUUGUGGUCGGUUUAGUAUUAAUUAACCAAAUUUAAUUUACUUGAUCAAUUGAUAUUUGUUAGUAUUGUUGUUAUACAAGCACAACAAAAGAAGAACACUAACGUACUAAUUAAUUACUAAUAAGAACAUUAACAAUUUUUGCCGAAGUCUGAUGAAGAGAAAUAUUACACAUACGUAACGGUACCGCGGAAGGAAAAAAUAAAAGAAACUGAAGUUUAUUUCAACAGCUACUCUUUCUUUACCUAAAUCCUGCACCUCUCAUACUACCAACAAGAUCGAAAACCUUAUCGAAUACUCCUACAUCCCAGACUCUGCCCAAAUCAGUGAAUCCACAUACCUCCAAUACAGUACCCCGUUGCUAAAAUAAAGCGAGCGUCUUACUCUACCUAACAUUUUUCUUUUUAUUAAUUUAAAACAGUUUUCAACUGAGAUUGGAAUUUUAAAAUUACGUACACAAACAUACCUGAUUUUAAAGAAAAAAAAUUCUAAUAAUAAAAUAUUUUACAUAUGUAACCAUACGGCGGAAGAACAAAUAUAAGAAACUGAAGUUUCAACAGCUGAGAAUGAGAUAAGCAUAAGAAAUUAAUUCAUUAAUUAAUUAAUAGAGUCCUCCUCCUUUGCUAAAUAAUGCGAGCCCAUUGUUCUUUUUAUUUCGAAAACCCAUUAAUCACCAACACAUAAUAUACGCCCAAUUUAAAAAAAAGAAACUAAUAAUAAAAUAUUUCAGUCCCUCUGUUGAGUCGUCCUCUGUGGAGUCGUCAUCAAAAACCCAUUUACUAGCUAUUUCAACAUAAGGUAAAUGGGUUAACAAGGCCCAAUAUUGUCCUCCAUCCUCUCUGCACUUCUCUUCUAUCAACGGACAAUCAUAGAUACUUAAUUUCAAAAGUGAGGAAGGCAGGCCCUUCUCCGGAAAGUAUUUGAGCUUGGGACAAUUCUUGAGAUACAAUGAAGUGAGGUUUUGAAGAUCAACAAUUGAAGAAGAUAGGCGUUCCAAAUUUGGAAAAUUGUAAAUCUCCAGAGACGUUAGAGAGGCAAGAAGAGGAAGCGCAGCCCCUAAUCUUUUGUCCUCUAGUGGAAUUGACACCAUGUCGUCAUCGCAUUCGCUGAUUUUAAAAUGUCGCAGAGAGGAGAAUCUGUGAAAUCCCCGGCCCCGCUCAAUCAUUGACUUCCAAAUCUCCAUAUUACCCCUGAUAUCAAGUGAAUGAAGGUUGGUGGGAAGGCCAUCUUCUUCAAGGCUUGGAAGCUCAACUCCUCUUCCUAUUGUUAAUUCUUGAAGAGAGGUCAGAUUGUGCAAUCCCUUGGGUAAGGCCUCUAGUCCCUUGCACCAACUGAUAUUGAACUUUAUUAGUUUCGCACAAGGCAAUCCCCCUUCGGGAAAGGACACCAGAUUUUUACAUUCCCAUAUUUCGAUCUCUUGAAGCUGGCGGAGAUUAUGUAAACCACUCGGUAAAAUCUUUAGAUUUUUACAAAAAUCAAUUCUGAUUAUUUCAAGCGAUGUGUUGUUGUCCAACCUUUCUGCUAUUGACUCCAGCUUUGAACAACUAAGAACUUCAAGGGACUUAAGAGACGGAGGUAGAUUGCCAACUUCAAGGGACUCAAGCGUGGCAGGUAACUCGUUUUUUGAAAAUAUACAUGUCAGAGAUGGACAUUCGCUAAUAUGCAAGCCCUCGAGAAGAGAUGAGGUGUACCUUCUGCUGCUGCUGCUGCUGCUACUCUGGAUGCCCUCUUCCACUGUCAAAGUCCUUAGAUUAUCACAAUUAUGGAUGUACAACAUCUUAAGGCUCGGUGGUAGCUGGACUCCAGCAAUAUAUGUCAACGAACGGCAACUCAAAAUCUCCAAGAUCUCGAGAGAUGAAUUGGUGUCGCACAUCCAUGCCUCUGGUAACAAUUUCAGUGCAUCACAAGAACUAAUAUGAAUUGUCUUCAACUUGGAAGGCAGAGCAACCUCAGGAAAGGAAACAAGGGAACUGCAUUGGUAGAUUUCUAUCUCUCUCAAGGAGCUAAGGCUGAGCGAUGAUUGUGGCAGCUUCACAAGGUCUUGGCAAUCUCUCAAUUCUAUAUAUUCGAGUCUGCAUGACAACUCGCAGAGCUGCUGUUGUUGGUCUUUCUCUUCCUCCGCCACCAAGGAUUGAAGUUUGGGACAGCUGCCAAUCGUCAAUCUUUUGAGAGAGCAAAUGUCUUGUAGUAAUCCAUCAUGACUCUUCCAUAUAUAUGUUUGCUCUUUUGUCGACAAAAUUAAUUCUUCCAAUUUCUGUAGUUGUGGUUUCAAUGGCCCCACAAGAAACACUUGAUUUGAUGCAUCUCUACAAACCACUGAAUUCUGUGAUCCGAGAUGACCAGUUGCACUUUCCCACACAACCUUUUUGCAUCCACCAAUUUCCAAUUUGCAAAGAGCUGGAAGACUCGAAACUGAAACUAACAAUUCUUCACAUCCUUCAAUAACAAGCAUCUCCAAUGCAGGAAGGUGCUCUGGAAAUGUUCCUUUCAGUUUAGAACAUUUUAAAAUGUGAAGUUCUCUCAAUUUAGGAAACCCUUCAACUCCUUGACUGGAUCCAUGAGGAAUCCAAUCUUCCCAUUCUUGCAUGUUUUCAAAAAGAAGAGUCUUCAAGCAUGGAAAUGGAAUUGGAGAAACAUUCCCAUAGAACUCUGAACCCAACCUCUUUACUCUGCUCAUUCCACAUACUACAAGAUGCUUUAAAGAGGGUAGUUGCCCGACUGACGGCAGGGCAGUACACAUGUCACAAUUUUUAAAUUUUAGGGUCACCAAAUUUGAGAAUGAGGAAUCUCCCAACCAAGUUGGAAAUUUCAUACCUCCAUAGCCUUUGAUACAAAAUUGCUCCAGAUUUGUAUGAGGUUUCAGCAUGUCAAGCAUGCCCAUUUCAGUUUCUGCCUCCCUUGAAGAAGAACCAUCGGUACUGCAAGUCCAUUUAAGCGAUAAUUCUUUCAGAUUCUUCUUUCCAUCCAUUUGAGCUACCAUGGCAUCACCAACGCAUUUUGCAUUCUCCAAUUUUGAAAUGUUAAGUGUCCCAUGAAGGUGCGUCAACAACUUUAGCUCUCGUAACCCGGAACCACUGCCUUUUCCCACAACAAAAUUACACAACGUCUGAAGACUAGUCAACCUACCAAUUCCUAGUGGCAUUUCCUCCAACGACUUCGUAUUUGAAUUCUUAAGAUGAUGCAAUUUGGCGAGGUUUCCCAUGUCUGCACACAACUUCUUCAGCCGAUCACAAUCUUCCAACAAAAGGCUAUGCAAAUUGUAAAGCUUGUUGACUGAGUCAGGCAGAGUUCUAAUCUCAGUUCCAGACAGGUUAAGGUACCUUAAAUACCUCAAAUCACCAACUGAAUCCGGUAGCUCGAAGAUGUGGUAUCCACGCAGAGAGAACGCCCUCAAGCGUUGGGGUUUGAGCAACUUAGGAAGAAUGCUAGGAGCCAAGUAGCCAGGCCCACUAUUUGUCAACAUUACUGGUAAAAAAGUUCUCAAAUGUUGGAUAUCAUACAAGUCCCCGAACCUUUGAACGCCAUCAUAAUCUCCACGAAUGUAUGAUAGGUGACGAAGAUUUCUGGAAAAACAUUGUUGCUUGUUAACCUCCGAGGUAUACUCCAGUGUGAAGUAUGUCUCCCCUGCAGCCCAACGGGCAAGGUCGUUGAUAAGAUCGUGCAUAACAAAUAGUGAUGCAUCGGUGGCCGAUUGCUGCAAAAAAGAUCUUGAACGUAGCUCCUUAAAGAAAUCACGACCUAAAUCUUCACUAGGAUUCUCAUCUUCUUUGUGAUCCAAAAAACCGGAGGCACACCAUAAUAAAAUUAUCUCCUCCUCUUCAAAUUCAUAAUCCUUUGGAAACAAUGAGCAGUAUGCAAAGCAUUGUUUCAAAGUUGGAGGAAGAUAAUAAUAGCUCACUGCAAGGGCUGGUAUAAUGCCACACCUCUUUUCUGAUAAUUCCCAUAUCUUGCUACAGAGCACACGUUCCCACUCACGUCUGUCAUGUUUUCCACGUAAAAGUCCUCCAAGUGUUUGUGCUGCCAAGGGCAAGCCAUCGCAUUUGGUCACUAUCUUCUUGCCGAUUUCCUCCAAUAACUUAUGUGACCCCAAAGAAUGUUGAGCGAAUACAGCCAGACAAUCAUUAUCUGACAACUUUUUUAAUUGAUAAGAUGGAACAGUACCCAUGAUUUCUGCAACCUCUUGAUUGCGAGUAGUGACAAUAAUUUUACUUCCUGGUGCACCAACUUCAAAUGGACGUCUGAGUUGAACCCAAUCAUCGUAAUUCCGGUUCCACACGUCAUCCAAAACAAGCAAAAAUUUCUUUCCAGACAGUUGCUUACUCAGUUCCUUUUGAAGUGAAUUCAAGCUGGGAUCACCCACGUUCUGGCUAGCAACAAUGGAUGUUAAGAUUGUUUUUGUUAGCCUCUUAACGUCGAAAUCAUCAGAGACACAAGUCCAUGCCUUGAGAUCAAAAUGAUCCUGCACUUGCUUAUCAUUGUAGACAAGCUGAGCAAGAGUGGUUUUGCCCAGCCCGCCCAUACCUAUAAUAGGAAUAACAGAGAAUCCACCAUCGUUGCUUAAAUCAUCCCUCAACAGCAGUUCAACAACAUCCUUCUUUUCUGUUUCCCUGCCAUAUACUUUGGCUUCAUCCACCAAAGAGGUUGUCUCUGGCCUUUGACUGGCUUUUUUGGAUCCCCCAGCUGAACUUUCUUUCAAAUCUAGCAAGUUUUUCUUUGUCACAAUUUCUUGAAAUCUGCUGUCGAUCUCUUUGAUUUUGGACAUCAAGUCAUAAUCGAACUGAGUCGAUUGUGGAGUAAAAAUGGUGAAGCAAGUAUGAAUGAACUUCCGAAGCUUACUUGGUCUCGUAUGACUGCUACUGGGUUGAUCAUGAGCAGCAGCUGGUUCUCCAUUUCCAAGCGGCAACCUCCUCCGGAAAGCCUCGGUUUGAAACUCAUCCAACAAGUCUUCAACAUCAUAAGCCAAGUUCUGAAGCUCGCCAAGCCACAAAUUCACAGACGGAGCCGUCCUCCUCUUCUCCUCAGCAUCAUCAAGCACUGCCUUGAUCAUCUCCAACAUAUUCGCCCACCUCAUCAGAUCGGCCUCGAUCUCCUUUUGGCGUGCAAAAAACAGAACCCCCUCUGAAGCUAACUUAUUGACCAGCAAAUCAACGGACGCCGUAAGGAUUGCCUCUCCGAUCAUUGACAUUUUUUUUUCCUUUUUUGGGGCAAAGGAAGAAAGGAGCAGAAUUAUGCGUUAUGGAAAGCAGAAUGAGAAAUUUGAACGGGUGAGAAAAUGGAUAAUUAAGCAGAAUGAGUUUGUGAUUGUGAAGGGUCUGGCCCAACAAGCUUAGUAGAAAUCACGCGUUUAUACUUUAUUGACCAAUGACUAAUAAUUUGCCAAUUCACUCAUCACCACCACUUGGUGAGCAAAAUGAAAAUGCUUAGUAAUUAAACGUGGCAAGUCUCCCCACUUGUUGUUCCUUGCAGCUAAGAAAAGAAAAAACAGAGCCGUAAUUAAUGACAGAAUUUUAAAAAUAAUAAUAAGAGAAAAACCUACACAUUUUCGACUUAGAGUGGAACCGUAAUUAAUGCUAAAAUUUACUCAGCUAAAAUUUUCAAAAUAUUGUUCUUUAUAAUUUUCAAAACCGUAAUUAAGGUUCAUCUCAAAUGUUUGAAGAGACUCUAUCAAUUCUUCUGCGCUAAGAAUAUUAAAAUUCUUAUUUUUUCUUCAAACGUUGAAUAAUGAAAAAAAAUGUUAAAUAUGGAGAAAAAUAGAAUGCAUCCAUCUUUGCUGUAGAAGUCUUCUACUUAUAAAAGCAAGUUAGAAUAAACGAUUUUAAUCUCUCUUUUUAUUCCUGUAAGUGCACUACAUUUUUUUUGUUUUAAUCUCAAUGUGAAGUCGUAUCAUAAUGUUAUGUUAAUGUUAUAUUCUUGUUGGAAAAUGAAAUUUUAGAUAAAACAAAUUCGACUCAUUUGUUGAAGGUAUAUAUUUAGUAGGUUGCUAACAUAAAGUAAAUGAACUAAAAGACAAUACUACCAGCGAUAAUUUAGCAAGUUUCGCAUGCUCGUCUUUCUUGAAAUAUUAUAUGGGAAUGGGAUCAAACAACAGUGAUACAAAGAGAAAAAUGGUAAUCCUCUGAUUGUAUUUUUUUUUUCUUUUUCAAAAGAGAUGGUGGGGUUGGGUUGUUUGCAAAGUUAUUAGUGUGGGUCUAUUUAAAAUGUUAAGAAAUUUUAUGUCCUUUUUUCAAAGUGAAUUUCCAUUUUUCAUUUCUCAUUAAGUAAAACCCACAGCAAAAUUAAAAAGAAAAAACAGAGCCCACUAUAAAUAUAAAAUCGAAGGAGCUCAUAAUUAUACCUUUGCUUUACAUACUAAAUUAAAUAAAAGCCGAACCAAGAAUCUUGCCUUUACUUAACAUGAUUAAUUAGACACUACUUCAGAGAGAAUACGAAAGCAAAGAACCCUUUUGUUAAUCUUAAAUGUUAGGAAAAUAAUUAGCUUGGAAUAAAGCUGCGUUAUUCUCCUCUUACCGUCUCUUCAGGUUCAUUUCAAAAGUUUGAAGAGAUUUUAUCAAUUCUUCUUAUAAAGGCAAGCUAAAUUAAAAGAUUUUAAUCUCUCUUCUUAUUACUAUAAGUGCACUGCUUUUUUUUUAUAAUCAACAAUGUCAAUUUGUAGUGUAAUAUUAUAUUCAUAUUCCUGUUGCGUCGAAAUAAGGUAAAAUGAAAUUUUAAAUCACACAAAUUCGACUCGUUUGUUAAAGGUAUAUAUUUAAUAAGCUAAUAACAUAAUUAACAUAACGCUAUUAUUACACUAAAUGAAAUAAAAGACGGUACCCUCCACCAAUAAUUACAUUAGCAAGCUUCGCAUGCUCGUGUUUCAGGACCUAGACAUUGGCGAAUUAAUCUAGGAUAACGAAACAAUUUCAAAAAGCAAAAUGGAUACUAUACAUUUUCUUUUUUUAAUUGUACAGAAAACGGGACUAAUUUUCAAAUAUUUUUAAAUUCACUUAUUUACAAAAGCUAUACAAAAUGAUUUCCUUUUUAUUUUUGAUGAGCAUAAUUUACAUACAUAUUUUACUAUUUAUUAUAUAAUUACUAGUUAUUUUUAUUUGUUAUUUUAAUUAAUUGAAUUAUUUUAUUUCAUAGGAAAUUAAUUGGAGAUUAUGGAUGAAAAGUGCGUAAAGAAUAACAAUUUGACAGCAUUGAAGAUCAAAUCAAUUUGCGGAAGGAAUUAAGCAAAUGUGCAAGAAAUUCUAUUCGAAGAAACCGAAGCCAAUAAAUUGAAUAUCCAUACUCGUGCAAACAAAGAAGAAGUUUAAAACUAAAGUGGGCAGCACAUUAAAAAAAGCUUUUAAUUAAGUCUUUGAAUGGAAAGUCAAAAUAGAAUAAAGGAAGGAAAUCAAUAGCUUUUGGCUUUUAUUGUUUUCAAUUACGUGGCAGGCUUAGAGCUUUAGCUUGUAAGAGUUGGUUUGGUUAUUAUCACAAUAGGAUUUGGUGGCCAAGCAAUAUAAAAGGGAGUUUUGCUUUUGAAUUAAAGGCUGGACGGAAACAAAAGGGAGGAGAAUUCGGCUUUGAACAGAGAGCAGCGGCAACGGCAAUAUUUCGGCUUCCAUGGCUGAAUUUAUUUCUUUUGUUGCUCACAAUUUAAGUAUGUCUAGCUAAUUUUCUUAUACUGAGGUUAAGGAUGAAACCCUAUUCAAUGAAAUAAUUAUCUUUUUAUUUAUUUAAUUCCCUAUAUAUGUGCUUUAAUGUUUAUGGUUUUUAUUUCACAUGAUUAAUUGGACGUUAUUAAAAUCUUUUCAUCAAUUCUGUCAUGCAUUAUUAAUUGUUAGGAUUAAUAUUCAAUUAAUUCUAUACUUGGAUCUAUAAAGUUUAUACAUGAUUAUCUUUGAUUUUAUGUCUUUCAUUAAAUUAUUUACAUAGAGUGCUUAGGAAAACUUUGACUCUUUGUUAUUUAAUAUGUUUACAUGAGAUGCUUACAUGUCAUACUAUUAAGUAGAAAAAGAACCUACAUUACAUUUAAUUUUAAUUGGGCUUAAUUGUUAUAUUUAUGAGAUGACAUAGAUUGAUUUUGAGUUGUCACUCUAAAAUUAGGGAUUCAUUAAUAUUUGGAUAAUUACAAAUUAAAUAGUGGUGGAUUCCGAAACCUUGAUAAUUUUUAUUUUAUUGAUUUCUCAUUUGCUUUAAUUGUUUUCUUAGUUUAAUAAGUUUAAUUUCUUUUAAAAAUUCAAAUUACUCAACUAAGUUAGGAUUAAUAUUAAUUUUAGAUUUAAAUUAGACUUUUCAAUUUAUAACAAUCCAUGUGGGAUUGACCUCGUUACUACUAUUCUAUUUCUAGAUUCAUGCGCUUGUAAGUAUAUUAAAACUUUCACAACAAUUUUGAAAGGAAUCAAAUAACAGUGAUACAAAGAGCGCAAAGUUGCAAUUCUCUUAUUAUAUUUUUUCUCUUUUUUAAAAGGAGAUAGUGGGGUUUGGUUGGUUGCUAAAUUAUUGGUGUGAGGGUCUAUUUGUUUUUGUUUUCACUUUAUUAAUUAUACCAAGCAAACAUGUAAUCAUUUGUAAAGGGGUCACUAGCAUUGGAUUAUGUAAGAUGAAUUCAUAAGACUUAUUAAUUUCGAUGAAAAUGUAGCGUUAUUAAGUUGUCAAUUCAUUAACUUGAGGUACUAAUAUUUACUAAUUGUGGUGAUUAAUUUAUUUAACUUGUCAUAAUUUUCAAUUGAGAAUGAAGUUCAAUCAAUGUAUGAAAAAAAUAAUUUUUUUAGAUUUUUAAUUCCUAUGAUUUAAUUUCCCCCUGUUUCGAUUAUUGACGUGUUAAAAGCUUGUAGAAUAUCAUGAAAUGCUUGUAUCUCACCUCGCAAAUUGACAAAUAUUGGUUGGUUUCUCCAAAGGCUACCAUAAUGAAUUGAAAGUAAAAACAACAACCAUUGAAAAUUAAUUUUAAAAUCAUUUUUACUUGAAAUUUUUUAAAAGAAAAAUUAAGCAAAUUAGAUUACAGAUAUCAAUCUUAAUAUUUUGUUGAUGAAAAUUAAUUAAUUUAUCUCAGUACUUUCUUAAUUUUGUGUUGUGCACCGCAUUGGUCACUUCUGAUUGUGUUGCAUAUUUGUUAAUUCAAAGAAAUAGAACUUCUUUAUCGAUCAAACUUAUUUUAUUAGUAUUCUUCAUCAUAUGGUUAAUGGCUUAGCCAAUGAAGGAGAAGGGGUCAGCCAAAACAAAUAAAGUACUUUCUCAUGCAUUAACCUUUAUUAAAAAGCUUUAUUAACUGUUGUAGUUAAAAUAAUUUUAAAACAAGUUAAAACAGUUCCAACUCAAAAUCAGUAGGCUGCAAUUGGGUUGUUACACAUAUUUCUAAAUUUCAGUCUAAUUUAAUUGUGUAUGGACAAACUAACUUUAUCACUUCUUUCAUAUUAAUACUCAUAAAUUUCAACCUUUUUUUAUGAUGAUGGACAAUCUAACUUAACAAAAAUAAUGUUCAAAUUAUCACAAAAUGUUCUUUUCUUAAAAAAGAAAAGAAAAUCAUAUAUAGUAGUUAAUUUUUCUUCUUCUGUACUCCAAGAUCCAACUCCGUACUCCACUUGUUCGUUGUUAUUAUACCCAGCCAUUAGAUUUUAAUUACGUUGAUUUAACGGUUUGGAUUCGUAAAUGAAUAACGACGUAAAGUUUGGCUACCAUCUGAACCCACCGCAUCUAAUUGGUUUUGUGAUUUUUUGCUUUCUUCACUGCAACGCUUGACUAGUUCUGGAAAUAUCGACCGCCAUCAACGGCAAAUCUGAACCAUGUAUUAUUUGCGAAUACAUUCAUUAAACUAUUAAACAUUCAGAGAAGAAAGCAAACCGUGGCAGUAUAACAAAAACUGCGAAUGGUCAUUCCCAACACGAACCCCUAUGGUUGUUUUCCUUUUAAUUUUCUUCUUUGAAUUCUCCUUUUAUUAAUCAUUAGAAAAACUCCAUUUUUUUUGUUUUAAAUCAUGUGUUAUUAACAUUUACAUGGUUAAUGUCAUCGAAAUCGAAUGGUUGUUAUCUACGAAAAGAGAAUUGCUAGAAAUUUUGUUAGUCCCAUUGCAACAAUAUAUUGUUAUAAAUUGCAUUGUUUUCCAUAUAACAAAUAUAAUAAAAUCUCAAUAAAUUAAUAGUUUUUGGGACCAUAAAAAAAUUAUUAAAAUUAAACAAAUAUCAAUUAAUCAGUAAAUUAAUAAAUUAUUAAUUUAUGAAAAUAUUCAUUAUUUUGGAAAAACAUGAUCACGCUUUUAAUAUUGAUUUACCUUGAGUUAGUAUCUAUUAGGUUUUAUUUGUCUAUUAGUUUUCUCUUGGGAAGAUUUUUUAAGAGUUAGCUGCUUUAUAUUAACAGUAAUAAAAUUAUUAUUUAACGGUUUUGUUUUUCCAUGCUAAAGACCGAUUAGUCGUCUUCUUCUCCUCAGCAUCAUCAAAACCAGGGUUUUUAACUCCUAAAACGUUUCUUUUUAGAAAUAUAUUACUUUAUUCAUCUAAUAUGUUAUCUAACAAAUAGACACAGAUGAAAUCACUCUAAAGUGAAGAUGAAAGGGGAAAAAAAACAUUCCAACCACCAAUAAUUUAGCAAGCUUCACUUUUAUUCCACCAAAGUGUAAAUAGUGCCAGCCCCCACCACCAUCAAUAAUUUAGCAAGCUUCACACGCUUGUUGUCUUCUCCUUGACGAACUGGACGUGGGUGGACCAAGAAUCAAUGAAAGAAUUUUAAAAAUAAUAAUAAAAGAAAAACAUAAACAUUUUGGACUCGGAGUAGAACCGUAAUUAAUGCUAAAAUUUACUCCGCUAACGUUUUCAAAAUAUUGUUCUUUAUAAUUGUACAGCAAAUAAGACUAAGUUUUGGACAUUUUCAUAUUCACUUACUUUCAAAAGCAGUAUUUCGAAACAUUUUACAGAAUCAAGUAACAGUUAUAUAACGAGAAAAGUGCAAAGUUGUGUAAUUCUAAUGUUUUUUUUUUUUUAUCACAGACACUCAGAUAAUUUUUUAUUUGGGUCGCCAACUCGCCAAUUAACCCAUGAUUGAAUGAGUGUUUAGAAAGAAAAUCAAUAAAAAACAGUUUUUUUUUUGGUCGUCGAAAUAUAGUAAGUGAGAAAGAUUAUUCUGUUUUUUUUGUUAAUUAGGUUAGUAAUUAUGAUUGAGUGACUCAGAACUAUAUUCUAGAUUGAGAAUCAACGGUUCUCCCACACUGAGAGGCUGUAAGUUUAAGAUUGUCGUUUGCUAUUUCAUCGACAAGAGAACACUUGAAUUUAUUAAAAGGAGAAGGCCAUAAAGAUUUUCCUUUAUGAGAAAUGUAUCUGAUCAUUCCUUUUUACUUGAAAAUUUCAUAUAUAAAAACUCAUUAAUAAAUGACAGAAUAUACAUAAAUUAUUAAUUCAUUUGAUAGUUGAUUAUCGAAGGACAUGUGACCCAUGGAAGCAUGCAGUCUAUAAAAUAAUUCUUUUUUUUUUUUAACAAAAAAUUGGUGAUGUUGAAAAGCAAAAUUAUUAUUUCUCUAAUUAGGGUGAACAUUCAUAAAAAGAAUGCCGUAUGAAACUAAAUUAUUAAUUCGUUUGACAUGUGACCCACAAUAAAUAGUUAAAUUUGGCGGCAACAAUAAUUACAAGACGAACUUAAAGCAGCGCAUAGGUUUUUCUUAAAAAUACAUAAACAAUUCGAUAUUUUUUAUUUGACAGUUUUUAAGAAAUGUCAAACAUAUAUGACAUUUUGUGAAAAACUGAGUAAUUGUGAAAUAUAAAUGAUAAUUUAUUUAAACGUCAAAUAAUUGUGACGUUUUAUCAAAUAAGUGAUAAAUAUCUUACAUAUUUAUUGAAUAAUUAUCAUUUACCUUUUCCUUUUAUUGACUCGAGCAAAAAAAACAAAAAAACUGACUAUACUGCUUUUAUUUUCGUUCUUAGAACAGAUUUUAGUUUCUUUUGAGAAAAUUCAAACUCAUUCCCAUUACUUUCUUUUCAAUAAUCACCUCUCAGUUUUUCAUCAAUCACUCAAUUCCGAAUUUCAUCUCCAUUCUCUUUUGAAGAAGAACGCACGAAGAAUUUUAGCUUGCUUUUGCUGCUUCUCGAAUAUUGGGUAUUGUUUCCUUUAAUUUAGAUAAUUGUUUUUUAUAUCUCUCUUUCUAGUUUGAUAAUUUAUGGUUAUACUUGAAUUAAUUGUAUUUUUAAUCAACCAAGGUUGAUUUAAUUGAUUCCAAGUCUCAAUUUCCUGUUCAACAAUUUUCAUACUCAAUUUUGAAAGAAUCAAUGUAUUUUAUCUUUGGUUAGUACACUUCUGUUCAAUUUUUGUUUAUUUAACUUAAGAUAUCUUUUUCUUUCUUUUCUUCAAGCAAAUUAUAGAUUAUAUUGAGAACAGAGUUUUCUCCUUAAUUCCGCCAAGAGCAACGUUGAUUUCAGGUGAUAAUUGAAUGUGUAAUAUUUUCAAUUGAAAUUAAUUGAGUCUCGUGAUAAUAAUAGGGAUUUGAGAUUUACAUCCUGUUGAAAUGAUUUUAGAGUGUUCUGUUAUUUGAAUGCGCAUUAAUUGUUUGAUUAAAUGUCUCUUUAAAAGAUUAUUUUUGUUUUUAGCAAACAUCUUAAUGCACUUUACAAAUUGAAUCCAACAAGGGAAAAUUAUAGAACUGCAGCAGUUUUCAAAUUGAUUGCAUAUUAGAAGUAAUGUUAAUUUAUGCUGCAACAGUUCAAUGGGCUGGGCACAAGUUUAGGACUUCAGUUGCUCAAUUAAUGAAUCCACCACUCAUCAGACUUGGAACUUAUAUCUAUUGAAUCAAUAAAAAUAGUUGAUGGAAUCAAUGCCGAAAGCUUCAUUUGAUAUUUAUUUAUAACAUCUGUUAGAUUCUGGACAAUCACAAAGAUAUAGUAGCAGAAACUAUGUUAGAGACACUAUAGUUGCUUAAUUAGUGAAAUUGUGCUCUCAUUGCCCCCUUUUUUUGGUUGAUUCUAUAAUUUUAUUAGUUGUUCUUGUGGUUGUAAACAAUAUCAAUUUCUAAUAUUAAUAAAACUGAAUGAAUAAAAUGCGAUGCAUUUGCAGGAAAGUUAAUAGUUUAAAUAUGGAUAAAUCUUGGAUGUUGAUGGAUAGAAGGUCUAUAGAAUAUGAGAACAUGGUAAAUGAGUUUCUCAAGUUUGCAGUACUUCAUGCUAGUCAUCUUGAGCUUUUGAGAUGUCCAUGCCAAGCAUGUCUUAGUUUAUAGGCUCAAACAAUUAACAGUAUAGAAAAUGCAUGAUAGAACACAGAACUCAUAUUUUAGCAACAAUCCUCAGCUCACUGGCCCUUAGUUCAGAAUGACAAUUCUUAUUAGCCAAAGGUUCAAAAUGAUUUUUAGUUGUUUAUAAGUAGAGAACUAGAUCAACAAAUAAUUGAAGACCUGCAGCUUGGCUAUUGAACUAUACGAUGAUGCCAAUUCGAAGACUACAACUUGGCUCUGCCAUUCGAAGUAAGCAACGCAGCUGCCCAAAGUCUGCCAAACCAAGAAAAAUAAAGACUUCUCCUUAGCAAUUAAGUUAAUAUAAGGAAUGUUGCAUGUCCACAAAACUAGGUAGACGCAACUGGGACUUCAAUAUAUAUAUAGAUAUAUAUAUAUAUAUAUAAGCAUUUCCUAGAUCAAUAUUAUUCUCAGUAACUGAAUAUUGAAGCUGACCAUCACAUUUAAUAAUAAAUCAAUAUCAGGAAUGUUGUUGAGGAGUAUUUUGAUAUUUACAAAAGUGUUCAAAGUAAAAAUUGAUUUCUUAAAACCCAUUAGCUAGCGCACAUAAUAAUGGGGAGAAAAUUUUAGACUACGAAUAGUCCCACCCAUUUAAUAAUAUUCUUCAAUCAAUUAUGUUUACUUCAAAAAAAAAAAACCAUCUCUUUAUUACUUUCUAACUAUUCAUAUUAAUGUGUUCAUAAUUAUGAAGAACCGGUGUAAUUUAUAUGAUGUAGGAAGCACAUUAGUCAAAAUCAUCAGAAUCUCAAAAUUUCGUGAUGUUGUGCCAAAUAUGCAAACCAAAGCUUCCUACAUUCUUUGUACGUUUGUGUUAGUUACAAGCAAUCACAGUGGUAAACGAAAAAAAACGAAUUAAAACACAUGAGGAGAUUUAAAUGAAAAUGUCUUAAUCAUAUAUCGCAUGUAAGACCUUUUGUACUCAAAACUGAUCAGCACCCAUUCUGCCCGCCGUGUGAUCACAUCUUGAAGGGAGUGUUGCUUCAGCAUUUUUAUCAUUUUUACUAUUUCUAGGAUCCAUUUUGUCACCUCCCUCCCUCCCCCCGGUUUCUAAAAUAAUUAUAUAAUAACCAUAUAAUUAUUGGUUGUUCUAGCAAAUAAAAAAAAUAUAUAUAUAUAUAUAUAUAUUAAUCUUUUAAUAACAUUAUCACUUUGUCAAAAUAAAAAAUCUCCUCAUUAAAUAAUUAUAUUAUAUAUAUUCAUUUAUUUAUCCAAAUAAAAAAGUAUGAAGUCAAAUAGUACACAAUAAUUUAACUAAUUUGAAUUGGUUUAUUUUUAAUGAAACAAAUAACAUUCCUAAAUGCUUCUCUUGAUCCUUAAUUUAUUGAUAAUUUUGUCAAUUUAAGGUCGGCUAUAUAUUGAUUAAAUUACAAGCUUAGACUAUCGAAAGCUGGUUACAGUUAUGGAGGCAGGAAAAAUUUUAUUGUACCAGAAAUUUUUUCUACAACAGUCCAUGCAAAGUAAACAUUUGUAAGGAAAUUGGAGAAUAAUUACAAAGCCAACUAAAUUUUAUGAGAAUCAAUUUGGAGUUUUUGUUAAUCGCCAUUUUGCGUUCAUACAAAGCAAGUGUAGAUACCGGCACAAUAAGCUAAAUGCAAAAUCCAAUGUAGGACAGUGGGGUUGGGACAACGAAAUGGGGAAAUGGGAAUCUAGGUAAUUGCACUGAACCUUAAACUGAGAGUACGGGCACUUAAAAUUUUUAAAGUGUCUAAUAAGUUUCAGCUAAAAAGGAAAUAGGCUGUAAAAUUGCUAAAUUCAUUUUGAUUUCUAAAUUCAUAAAUAACCUUAAAAGUUCUCUGAUACAACUUGUCAAUAAUGGUGAAAAUUCAAUUUCAGAAUGACAAUUCUUAUUAGUGAAAGAAUCAAAAUGAUUUUUAGUUGUUUAUAAAUAGAUCACUAGAUCAACAAAUAAUUGAAGACUGGCUUGGCUAUUGAACCAUACGCGGCAAUUCGAAGACUGAAACUUAACUCUGCCGUUCGAAGUAAGCAACUCAGGUGCCCAAAGGCUGUCAAGCCAUCAAGACAAUACGAAGAUACAACAUCAAUAAUAAUUACAUAUUACACCUACCCCAAUAAGAAAUUAGUUAAUACAGUCCUAGAAAGAAAUUUACAAACCCAUGCUGUAGGAAUAAUUAAUUAAUUUAUACAGUUCGGUACUCAUUCCUCUUCUGUUUCAAAUCCAUAUCCACUGCUCUGCCAUUUAUUACUACGCAAGGUAUAUGGGUUAGCAAGUGCCGACAUUGUCCUCCAUUCUUUAUGUGCCUUUCUUCUAUCAAGGGACAACCCAAGAUCUCUAAUCGCAAGAAAAAUAUUUCAAAGUAAAAAGUGAUUUCUUAAAAUCUAUUAGCUAGUGCACAUAAUAAAAGGCCAUUCAUGGUAAAUUUUAGAUUACAAGUAGUCCCAAUAAUAUUCUGCAAUCAAUUCCGUUUAUUUUAAAAUAAAAGAAAUCCAUCUCUUUAUUACUUUCUAAUUAGUCAUAUUAAUGUGUUAAUAAUUGUGAAGAACCAGCGUAAUUUAUAUGAUGUAGGAAACCCGUUAGGCAAAAUAACCUGAAUUUUUUAAAGUAGGGGCUAGACAUAUUGGGCAUAACCUCAGUUUCUGUUACUUCUUUGACCCUGCCUAAGCUCUUUUAUGGGCUAAUAUCAAAAUUUCGUGAUAUUGUGCCUAAAGAGCUUCCAAUUCAAGGAGCUCCCCUGUUUUUGACUGAAACAUAUGUAAUCCGAAAAAUUUAUAAUUAGAUAAAUCAUUCAAAAUCUCCCUGAAUCUAACCCACAUUUCUAUGGUUUAAUAACAUAUCACAAAGGUGCCUAAUAUAAUGAAAUUAGCACUAGUUCACGAGAUUGCCAUUAUAUAUUACAAGUCUUUUUAUGAUGUAGAUUAGAAGGGAAAAUACGAAGGACAUAUUAUAUAUUAUAUAUGAUUGAAUUUAAUCCAUGAUAAUUAGACAAAAUAACACUAAUCUAGCUAACUAAUCCACCCAUCAUAAUAAUUUGAUUUUCAUUAUUUUAUUGUGUCCAAUCAUGCUAAUUUAAUAAAAAAAAUACAGAACACUUGAGGAUUUAGAUAUUCAACAACUUUGGCCAAGUUUGAAAAAGAUUAGAGCUUCCUUCAUGCUUUGUGUUCUUAUGUUACACAUGAUCAUAUUAUGUUACAUUUGACAGAAAACUGAAAAUUAUUGAAAAAAAAAAAUCUUAGUUAGCACAUGAUCAAAAUGAGAGAUUAAUGCACACACAUCACAACAAUGUUUCAUUCAUUUUGAAUCUAUAUUUACAAAACUUGUAUCCGAUGGUUUACAUUUGUUUAAUCUAACUGCUAUGACAUGUGUACUGUCAAAACGCUACAGCUGCCAUCUCUGUUUGUCCUUGUUGCAUCCUUGAUCUUAUAUUAUCCUGGAGAUUAUUGAAUGUUCUUCUCAUUCUCAUGUGCUCGAGGGUCCUUUCUUGAGACAUUUCAGCAAACACCUGAUUCAUCCUAUUAAACAUUAGCAUCAUUAAUCAGUAAAUGAUGUAAGGUAGCCCUGUUUCGUGAAGUCAACAUAAAUCAGUCACCUUAGAUUUUCUGAGUCUCAGAGCACAAUGGGUGAUGAUUUGAUGAGAAAUAUUAAUAUGCCUUCAUCCCCUGAAUUAGCUAGAGCUGGUUGUCAUUUUCUUCUUUCUUUUGGUACGGUUUUAGAUUUUUAAUCAAUCAGAUUCAGCUGCAUGUUUGCUUUUAGUCCAAACCAAAAUAAGAUAUUAAGUACUUUUGCCAGAAUAGACGCAACCAAAAUUCUAUGGGAUCUGUAGUUCCUAGUUCAUGCAGAAGCGACCGAAUGCUUCCUGCAACUCAGGCAGAUAGAACCUUGGUUGAUUCGUUUUUCUUCAUCUGAAAUUCUACCUAAUGCCUAUCCUCUUAAUUGGUUUAAAUUCUUCUUUUUUUUCUUUGAAUUGUUGAUUUAUAAUGUCUUGUAUGCAACAUUUAUAAUUUCGGAUGAUGAUAAUCUUGUUUAAGAAGAGAUUUCUAGUUACGGCAGCAGCGUUCUUGAUCAUGGCAUCACAAGCACGUGCUCUGGUUUGCUUAGUUUCCUUUUUGUCUCUGAUAUUUUCUUGGCAUUGUGGGAUAUUGUUUCUCUUUUGAUUUUCUGUUUUUGUUUGCUUAGUUUCCUUUUUAUGUCUGAUAUUUUCUUGGCAUUCUUGUUCUCUCUUAUAAUAAAGUGCUUUUGAUAAAUUCGCCUGGUCGGUUUACUUCACUAACCAUUAAUGAGCAAAUCCUCCCAGUGACUCUCAAACUCUUCUACACAAUUAUAAUAAUUUCAGUUUUACAUAUACAAAAAUGAACAGCUCUCAAACAUAUCAUUUGAUAAUGACAAAAACAAUAAUUCACUCCAAUAAAUCUCAUAAUAAAUACAUGAUCUACAUUGCAAGUCUUUUUAGGACGCAUUCAAAGAGAAAACAUAAGGAAUGGCAAUGCAAGAAUAUGGAAUCAGAAUAACAGUGAUACAAAGAGAAAAAAAAAGGGGAUGGUCGGGUUGGGUUGCUUGCAAAAUUAUUGGUGCGGGGGUCUACUUGUUUUUGUGUCACUUUAUUAAUUAAUUACCGAAGCAAACACGUCAUCAUUUGAAAAAGAAUCACUAGCACCAGCUUAUGAAAAAUAAAUUUGUAAGACAUAUUAAUUUGAAAAUAUUUUGGAAUUUCAGUCUAAGUUGAUUUGUCUAAUUAUGUAUGCACAAACUAGCUUGACCACUUCUUUCAUAUUGAUACCUAUAAAUUGCAACCUUAUUUUACGUUGAUGCACAAUCUAACUUAACAAAAAAAAUAUUCAAAUUGUCACAAAAUAUUUUCUUCUUAAUAUAUAUAUAUAUAUAUAUACAUACACACAGUAGUUAAUUUUCCUUAUUCUUCACUCCAGGAUCCAGCUGCAUACCCCUCUUUUUUGUCGUUAUGUUGCUCAACCGUUAGAUUUUAAUAACGUUAAUCUAACGGUUGAGAUUUGUAAAUGAAUAAUGAAGUGGUGUUUGGCUACUAUCUGAAAAUAUCGGCAGCCAUCGACGGCGAAUCUGAACAAAGGCAACAGGAGGUGAUCGUGGUGAAAUUGUUUUUUGGCAUGCGAAUCUAACGACUUUCAAAUACGUUCAUUCAAAUAUUAAAUGCAAUUCAGGCAAAUAGAAACUUGGUUGAUUGAUUGCUUUUCAUGUGAAAUUCUACCUAAGGGCUAUCCUUUUAAUGGUUUGUACUGUCUUAUAUGCAAAUUAAAUUCGGAAUUCGGGUGAUAAUAAUCUUGAUUUAGAACAGAUUAGGUAACAUGUGGCAUUCUACAUUCUUGCAAUGCCAUUUCUUUUUAUGGCAGCACCAUUUUUUAUCAUUGUUUGUGUGGACCUAUUUGCUGAAUUCAAAACUUGGCGUGUUAAAACGGCAUCGUUUUGUCCAUUAAGAUGUUUCAAGUUGUCCCCGGCUGGACAUAUGACUCACUUAAUGAUACCAAAACGGCGAGGCAUGAAGGUGUUUCGGCUAAGGGCUUAAGUUCUGCAUGUGACAAGCACGUGAGAGAAGAAUCAAGUUAGUUAUAAGUUGUUAUACACGUGGCUGGAUCUGGUGCAAUCUGGGGUAAUGAACAGCCGUUAUAUAAGCUGAGCUUUCAGGCAGUUUCAGCAAGAUGUAAAGAGCUUCUAGAGAGAAUGAAGAGAGAGAAAAUGUAUCAUCUUAUUCCUUGUUAGUUUCUCCGUGUGAGCUCUGUAAAAUACUUUGAUUCAUAAAUAAAACUCAUUUUAGUCGAUUCUCCCUUGGAUGUAUGUUCUGCCUCAUUGCACAGCCGAACCACGUAAACAGUGCUGGUUUCUUUUUUUUUCAUUUGUGUCUAUCACUAAAAAGCAGAGCACUUGCUUGAUUGAAUAAUGUCAUAUUACAUCACAUAAACUCUCUCAAUUAUUGAAAAAGAAAAUCGUAAAAGAGAUGUGUUGAAUUGAUAACUGAAAAAAUCUUAAAAAAUCUUCAAAGUUUUCAAUUAUUGAUAACUGAAAAUUAUUGAAAAAAAAAAUCUUAAAAGAGAUGUGUUGAAUUGUGAAAUUAAAACUGAGUUUCAGACAUUUCUGACAUGUCGGUUUAUAUUCUUGAUUGUGCAUGCCCUGUCGGUUGCUUGAUGAAACAGGAGAAUAUUGACAUCUGUGUAUUAUCGUUUACUUCCUGCAAUUAAAUCACAUGUUGUUCACGUGAUUCCAUUUGCUCUAUGCGGCACAUUUGGCAGUCGUUUAGGUCACUUACUGAAGCACGGGUUAAGUACUUGAUUCAAGGUUGUUAACUGACCUUUACAAGGCGGGAAAAACAAACCCGGAAUGCAGCUAGUGAGUGGGGGACUUUUCUAGACUCUUCAUGAUAUGUAUAUAUAGUCUUAGAGGCUAUAGUUGAGACAUAUGAAAAGCUUGUAACUUCUUCUUAAUGUUUGUAGUUUGAUCUCGGUGAUGGAGAUAAGAUUGCUGCCCUGUUCUCCAGGCCGAACCACUUAAAAUGUGCCUCUGUUUUGCUUGAUGACUACCAGUGGUGAGAAAACAGCUACAGAACAAAUCAAGCUUGAUGACUCAAAUAUUAGGGAAGCCAUAGUCAAGGCAUCUGGUUUAUGCAUCAACAGUGGUUCGUGGACUAGAAUUCUUAGCUAUUGCCGCUUCACAAUUGCACUGGAAGAAAGCGAAUUUGAUCGAGCUUUGGAUCGCAUAGCUAAAUUCAAAAGCAUCGUACAAAUAGUUAACUCAAAAACGGUAUUGUCAUUUGUCAUGAUUUAUUUCUAUUGCCUGAUGAUGAUACCCAUCACGCCUUAGUUGUCGUGAAUAAAUCUAAAAUCAAAUUGAACUGGCUUUUACUGGUUAGCAACAUUUGUGACGUUUUGAGAUUAUAAUAUAUGACAACACUGAUUAGUGUUGUCUCCCAUGUGAAUUGAGACAAAAAUUAUUUUCCCAAUUGCGCUUUCAUUUGAACAAUUCCACUGUAGAUUUAUAAAAUAAUGAUCAAAUUGUGUUUUAUAUUAAGUUACGAGUAAUUGGUUAAAUAUUAAUACAAAACUAUUUUAAGUAACAUGUGGCAUAUUCUAAUUCUAGCCAAGCUUCCAACUAAGAUUCCCAAAUCAAAAGAAUUUCAAUCUUCAGAACAUUCUGCAAAACGUUUAGUUUCUACGCAGUGCUAGAAUUUUCCCUAAGUUUCUAUCGCAAAGACUUCUAAAGAACUAUUCAGAUAUCGAGCUAUAAUCCAGUCUAAAGUGUAUAUAUCCCUCUAAUUCACCUCCCUCCAUUUCACCAGAAAAUCAACAAACACUUAGCUUCAAACAAACACUCUAAAAAAGCUAGCUAGCUAUUCAGAUGGCAAAACCAAGAAUUCUUGCAAUGACAAUGUUGUUUCUUGUUAUGGCAGCAACAUUGAUGAACAUGGCAUCGCAAGCAAACGCUCUGAUGUCGUACACACAAUCACCUUUCAGGGUUCUUGAACAAACCCCUUUAACAAUCGCAAAACGAGCUGAUCAUCAUCAAACUCUAGCCCCGGCGAGAACAGACUAGAUGGAGACACCAACAGCCCACGUGAUCACGCUCGACAUUCCAGGGAUGAAGAAAGAUAAUGUAAAGAUUGAAGUUGAAGAGAACAGAGUACUGAGAGUGAGUGGGGAGAGGAAGAGUAAUGAUUAUUACAAGGAGGGAGUUGAAGGAGAGAAAUGGCACAGAGCUGAGAGGACAUUUGGCAAGUUUUGGAGGCAGUUUAGGAUGCAUAUGAGUGCUGACUUGGAUCAUAUUAAGGCUCACAUGGAAAAUGGGAUUCUGAGGGUCACAGUGCCAACGCUUGCUGAGGAGAAGAAGAGGCAGCCUAAGGUUAUUAACAUUGAUGAAGAGUCUGGUAAUUCUUCCAAUGAAGAUAUUAAGGCUACCAAGGCUCAAAUGUAAUUGAUUAAAGAAAGAAGUGAUUGCUUUGCUUGAUGUGCUAUUUGUUUAUGAUCUUUUCUUGGUUUUGUUGUGAGAUGUUUCUAUUUGGAUGCUCUAUUUAAUGUAUUUUGAUGGGUUUUUGAGGAAGGCUUGUAUGUAUUGACAACAAUAAAGUGCUUUUUAUAAAUCCUAGUCCUCCAACACUAAAAGAAAUUAAUACGCUUGGUUUAUAGUUAAUAAAAAUAUAUAUAUUUUUAAAAAAAGUCUUUUUCUUUGGCAUAUAGUAUGCGUUUUGAGGGAAAAAAAAUUAUCCCACUCCUAAUUCGUCCUCUUCUGCGAUAUUAAUGUGUUAACACGAAGAUUCAUUGUAAUUGCAACAAUUUUGACGAAUCCAAACGUUCAAUAACUGUUAAAUUGUAUUUAUAAAUACUAAUAGCGAAGGUACAGAAACGAUUAAUUCACGAAGUUGCUUAAAGUGCAUUAAAUUAGAGAGUAUAAAUAAUUGUGUGAUACAGUCCAGCCUUCAUCUGCUUAUAAUUAGCAACCAAAAACCACUUUGCAACACCAUUAAAAAAACAUUUUAACAUUAUUGCUGAGGGAAGAGGCAGCUUAGGCUUAUUAACUCGUAUUAUUAAUGCUGAUGACGCAGCUGGUAAUCCUUUUGGUGAAUAUAUUAAGGCAGCUGAAGCUUAAAAUUAAUUAAGCCCACUAAAGCUUAAAACUAAUUCUUCUGGUGACGAUACUUUGCUUAGUUCGCUUUUUGUUUUUAAUUUUUUUGGGGCUAACGUUUUGCUUAUUUUGCUUUUAAAAUUCUAUUCGCGUUGCUGUGGAAUAUUGUUUCUCCUUCGAUUUUCUGUUUUUGUUGUUAUCGGAUUUGAUGAUGGUUUAUAUGUACGAAGAUUAUGUAAUAAAGUGCUUUUGUAAAAAUACUAAGGUAAUAUACAUUACACAUUUGUACUCAAUAAGAAAUCAAUUCAUUAAUAUAAGCAUUAAUACCCCUGGUUUAUUGUUAAUGAAAAUUAAAAAAGAAAAAAAAAAGUCUUUUUCUUUGGCCUUUAUUAUGGAUUUUAAGAGGAAAAAAAUUUAUCCCACUCCAAUUCAUGAAGAUAUUCUCUUUUCUGUCAUAAAGAUCCAUUGCAGUUGGUGAAUUCAAAUAUUCAGUAACUGAUGAAAUUGUAUUUAUAAAUUCAUACUAAUAGCAAUUGAAGAUUAUAAUUAAUUUUGUAAUAUGAUCUAGCCCUCGUGUGUUUAAUUAGCACUCAAAAACCACUUUACAUAAAUGAGGUUUCAACAGCUGAGAAAGAGAUAGCCAUUAUACAUUACACAUUUGCACUUAAUAAGAAAUCAAUUCAUUAAUAUAGCCAUUAAUACGCCUGGUUUAUUGUUAAUGAAAAUUAAAAGAGAAAAAAAAAGGUCUUUUUCUUUGGCCUUUAUUAUGCAUUUUAAGAGGAAAAAAAUUUAUCCCACUCCAAUUCAUGAAGAUAUUCUCGUUUCUGUCAUAUUGAUGUGUUAAUAUGAAGAUCCAUUGCAGUUGGUGAAUUCAAAUAUUCAGUAACUGAUGAAAUGGUAUUUAUUUAUAAAUUCAUACUAAUAGCGAUUGAAGAUUAUAAUUAAUUUUGUAAUAUGGUCAAGCCCUCGUGUGUUUAAUUAGCACUCAAAAACCGCAUUACAAUAGGCAUUAAAAGAACAUUAUAACGUCAUUGCUGAUGAGUUCUGGUGAAGAUAUUAAGUUAAGGCCACAAAAAUCGAAAUGUACGUAGCUUCGUUUGUUUUUUGUUUUUGAUUUUUUUUGGGGGGCAAAUGCUUGGCUUCGUUUGCUUUUUCGUUUUUGAUAUUUUAUUGGCUUUAUUGUGUGGCAUGUUCUUGUUUUCUUUUGAUUUUCUGUUUUGGUUGUUAUGGGAUUUGAUGACGAUGUACAUGUACAAAGAUUAUGUAAUAAAAUGCUUUUGAUAAAUUGUGGAACAAAAGAAGAACACUAACGAACUAAUUAAUUACUAAUAAGAACAUUAACAAUUUUUGCCGAAGUCUGAUGAAGAGAAAUAUUACACAUAAGUAACGGUACCGCGGAAGGAAAAAAUAAAAGAAACUAAAGUUUAUUUCAACAGCUAAGAAUGAAAUAGGCAUAAGAAAUUAACCCAUCAAUUAAUUAAUUAAUACAGUCCCCUGCUACUAAAUAAUGCGAGCCCCUUACUGUACUUAACAUUUUUCUUUUUAAUAAUUUAAAACAGUUUUCAACUGAGAUUUGAAUUUUAAAACUACAUACACAAAUACACCUGAUUUUAAAGAAAAAAAAUUUCUAAUAAUAAAAUAUUUUACAUAUAUAACCAUAUGGCGAAAAAAUAAAUAUAAGAAACUGAAGUUUCAACAACUGAGAAUGAGAUAGGCAUAAGAAAUUAAUUCAUUAAUUAAUUAAUAGAGUCCUCCUUUGCUAAGCUAAAUAAUGCGAGCCCAUUGUUCUUUUUAUUUCGAAAACCCAUUAAUCACCAACACAUAAUACACGCCCAACUUUUUUUUUAAAAAAAACCUAAUAAUAAAAUAUUUCAGUCGUCCUCUGUUGAGUCGUCCUCUGUUGAGUCGUCAUAAAAAACCCAUUUACCAGCUAUGACAGCAAGAGGAAUAUGGGUUAACAAGUCCCAAUAUUGUCCUCCAUCCUUUCUGCACUUCUUUUCUAUCAACGGACAAUCCACGAUUCUUAAUUGCAAAAGUGAGGAAGGCAGGCCCUUCUCCGGAAAGUAUUUGAGCUUGGGACAAUGAUAGAGACCCAAGUGAGUGAGGUUUUGAAGAUCAACAAUUGAAGAAGAUAGGCGUUCCAGAUUUGGAAAAUUGUAAAUCCACAGAGAUGUUAGAGAGGCAGGAAGAGGAAGCGCGGUCCCUAAUCUUUUGUCCUCUAGUGGAAAUGACACCAUGUCGUCAUCGCAUCCUAUGAUUUCAAGAUGUCGCAGACAGGAGAAUCUGUGAAAUCCCCGGCCCCGCUCAAUCAUUGACUUCCAAAUCUCCAUAUUACCCUCAAUCCAAAGUGAAUGAAGGUUGAUGGGAAGGCCAUCUUCUUCUUCAAGGCUUGGAAGCUCACCUCCUUUUCCUAUUGUUAAUUGUUGAAGAGAGGUCAGAUUGUGCAAUCCCUUGGGUAAGGCCUCUAGUCUCUUACAAUCAAGUAUCGUCAGCCUCGUGAGUUUCGCACAAGGGAAUGCCCCUUGGGGAAAGGACACUAGAUUUCCACAAUACGCUAUGCUAAUCUCUUGAAGCUGGCGGAGAUUAUGUAAACCACUCGGUAAAAUUUUCAGAUUUCCACAAUUAGAAAUGUCGAUUGUUUCAAGAGAUGUGUUGUUGUCCAACCUUUCUGCUAUUGACUCCAGCUUUGAACAUCCGCGAACAGAAAGGGACUUAAGAGACGGAGGUAGAUUGCCAACUUCAAGGGACUCAAGCGUGGCAGGUAACUCAUUUUUUGAAAAUAUACAUGUCAGUGAUGGACAGCUGUUAAUACGCAACUGCUCAAGAAGAGAUGAGGUGUACCUUCUAUUGCUGCUGCUGCUGCUACACUGGAUGCCCUCUUCCACUGUCAAAGUCCUUAUAUUACUGCAAUUGUUAAUCACCAACUGCUUAAGGCUCGGUGGUAGCUGGACUCCAGCAAUAUAUGUCAACGAAUGGCAAAAGCAAAUCUCCAAGAUCUCGAGAGAUGAAUUGGUGUCGCACAUCCAUGCCUCUGGUAAUGAUUUCAGUGCAUCACAUUCCCUAAUCUCAAUUGUCUUCAACUUGGAAGGCAGAGCAACCUCAGGAAAGGAAACAAGGGAACUGCACUUGUAGAUUUCUAUCUCUCUCAAGGAACUGAGACUGAGAGAUGAUUGUGGCAGCUUCACAAGGCCUUCGCAAUAUCUCAAUCUUAGAUAUUCGAGUCUGCAUGACAACUCGCAGAGCUGCUGUUGUUGGCCUUUCUCUUCCUCCGCCACCAAGGAUUGAAGUUUGGGACACCGUCUAAUCGUCAGUCUUCUGAGAGAGCAAAUGUCUUGCAGUAAUUCGUUAUGACUCUUCCAUAUAUAUGUCUGCUCUUUCAUUUCAUUUAUCUUCAAUUCUUCCAAUUUUGGUAGUCGCGGCUUUAAUGGCCCUGCGAGAAACACUUGAUUUGAUCUAUCUCUACAAACCACUGAAUUCUGUGAGCCGAGAUGAUCAGUUGCACUUCUCCACACAACCUUUUUACAUCCACCACUCUGUAAUUUGCAAAGAGCUGGAAGACUCGAAACUGAAACUGACAAUUCUUCACAUCCUUUAAUAACAAGCUUCUCCAAUGCAGGAAGGCGUUCUGGAAAUGUUCCUUGCAGCUUAGAACAUCUUAAAAUGUGAAGCUCUCUCAAUUUAGGAAACCGUUCAACUCCCUGACUGGAUCCAUGAGGAAUCCAGUCUUCCCAUCCUUGCAUGUCUUCAAAAUGAAGAGUCUCCAAGCAUGGAAAAGGAAUUGGAGUAUCAUUCCCAUAGAACUCUGAACCCAACCUCUUUACACUAGUCAUUCCACAUACUGCAAGAUGCUUUAGAGAGGGUAGUUGCCCGACUGACGGCAGGGUAGGACACAUGCCACAAUAUUCAAAUUUUAAGGUCACCAACUUUGAGAAUGAGGAAUCUCCGAACCAAGUUGGAAAUUUUGCACCUCUAUAGCCGCUGAUACAAAAUUGUUCCAAAUUUUUAUUGGGUUCUAGCAUGUCAAGCACGUCCUUUUCAAUUUCCGCCUCCCUUGAAGACGAGCCAUCGGUACUGAGUGUCCAUCGAAGCAAUAAUUCUCUAAGAUUCUUCUUUCCAUCCAAUUGAGCCUCCUUUGCAUCACCAACGUCUUUUACAUUCUCCAAUUUUGAAAUGUUAAGUGUCCCAUGAAGGUGCGUCAACAACUUUAGCUCUCGUAACCCGGAACCACUGCCUUUUCCCACAACAAAAUUACACAACGUCUGAAGACUAGUCAACCUACCAAUUCCUACUGGCAUUUCCUCCAACGACUUCGUAUUUGAAUUCUUAAGAUGAUGCAAUUUGGCGAGGUUUCCCAUGUCUGCACACAACUUCUUCAGCCGAUCACAAUCUUCCAACAAAAGACUAUGCAAAUUGUAAAGCUUGUUGACUGAUUCAGGCAGAGUUCUAAUCUCAGUUGUAGACAGGUUAAGGUACCUUAAAUACCUCAAAUCACCAAUUGAAUCCGGCAGCUCAGGGAUGCAGUAUCCACGCAAAGAGAAGACCCUCAAGCGUCGGAGUUUGAGCAACUUAGGAAGAAUGCUAGGAGCCAAGAAGCCAGGCGAACUUUUUGUCAACAUUACUGGUAAAAAAGUUCUCAAAUGCUGGAUAUCAUACAAGUCCCCAAACCUUUUACCGCCAUCAAAAUAUUCAGGAAUGUAUGAUAGAUGACGAAGAUUUUCGGAAAAACUUUGCUGCUUGUAAAUUUCUGAGGUAUACUCCAUUGUGAAGUAUAUCUCCCCCGCAGCCCAACGGGCAAGGUCAUUGAUAAGAUCGUGCAUCACAAAUCGUGAUGUAUUGUUGCUUAAUUGCUGGAAAAAAGAUCUUGAACGUAG